AUUUUUUAUUUAGGUUCAAAUUUUUUAAAAUUAAAUGGACCAAUCUAAAUUACAAAUCUCAUGUAAUUGUUUUAUAAAAACAUAGUUAUUUAAAAUGAAACUUCACAAUAAGAAUAAAUUAUAUAUAUAUAUAUUUAAACAUCAUCUUAAAUAACAUAAUAAGGUAAUAUUUUUACUAUGAAUGUAUUUUUAUUAAAUGAUUAGAAAACCUAAAAAUUGUUUAAAGAAUAUAAGCAUAUCAUCUGAUAUUGUAUUUUCUAUAAAAUUUUGUUUGAUGUUAUGACUGUUAGAUCUAAGUAAACAAUUAAAAAUUUCAGAUUAAAACAUAAUUAUGAUUCAUUUGAUUCGGACCGAGAUAACCAAAUUUAUGGAAUCUUUUUUUUUUACAAUAAUAACUAAAACUAGGUAAAAGAAACCACCAAUUCAGAUAACCAAACCAGACGUGCCGAAUUAACAUAUAGCAAAGCAGAAGGAGAAAUCCGAGCAUUGUGUGAAAAUUUGUCCGCCAUUAUAUUUUUUUCUCUUGUUAUAUGCAUGAUCGAGAAAUUAGGGAAGAAUUCCUUACAUCGUUGAAAUUAGUCCAUGUGGAUAUUAAAAGCUGGCCGUUCAUCUGGUGUCGACACCGACACCAUCUACACCAAAUGAGAAAUAGUUUGUUGCAAAAACCACCUCUGUAAUUUGAAAGGUCUUCAUGCAAUCCAUAGCCCAAAUCAGUUCUUCACAUUAUGUAUAUAAAUGUGAUAAGCAUCUUCCAAUUGUCAUUGCUCCCAACAUAUAAUCGUAAGAGCUUGUGGUACAAAACCAACCUUGACCUGUAAAAAGAUCCUUUUCUCCCCAAGAUCCAUCAAUACAGCAUAAUCUGGUACCUACCAAUGGCUGACAUAAGUAAGUAGGAAAAAAAACUCAUCUUGUUCUUUUAACUCUAUAAGAUGAACCUCAGCCCAUAAAACUCUUUCAAUUUUUGUUAUACACACGAUCUCCUAGAGUUACUAUUUUAAUCUUUGUAAAUCUUAUUAUUUCUAUUCUUCCACAUAUACCACAUAAUCCAAGGAAAGUAACUGACAACAUAUUUUUUUGGGUAAUAUCAACAAUAAAGAGUCCAUAUUGGUAAAAUCGAUGAUGUUGGAAAAAUUCCCAGGUUUGAAGGUGUUUAUGACAUAACCCAUGUCAGGAGCAGUGAUGAACAUUCAAAUAUAACAUGAUUAAUUGACUCGUCUUCUUCUCUUCGUAUACUACAUCAUGUGUCACAUGACAUCCUGCGGGAUUGCAUAUUUUUAGUAACUAGUAGGAUACCCGAUAUGAUCAGUUGAAGAUUUGUAGUGUUGUCAUGAAUCAUAACUGAAAGUACAUCUCUCCUUCAUUUUUAUCAGCUAUUAACUUCCCACAAUUCCUUUGAUUUUUAUUGAGAUUUGGAGGGUCAUGCAAAACAAAUGAAGUAGAGAAGACCAAGUUGAUGGUCAUGUGAUAAUUCAAGAAAUCAAGUAGCACAAGUUGAUGAUCAAAGAAGACACUGAAAUCAAGGGAUGAGCGGCAACCAAAUGAAGCAACAAUCAAUUCCAAGAAACCAAACCAAUGAAGAAGAAUUGCUCACCUAAAAAAAAGGAAACAAGGUGGUUGGAGAGGCAACCAAAGAAGAAGCUCCUGGAGAUUCAUAUCAAGAAGGAGAAUCACAAGAAGAACAAGAGGAGUUAAAUCAAAAGAUUUAAGAGGGAAUUUUGGAAUUGAACCUUUGAUUAAACAUACAAAGAGAAGAUGACUCAAGAGAGAGGAAGAAGUGGAAGCAAGGGAGCUUUCCACACACAAAAAAAAACAAUGAAAAAGUUGACAAGGACAAGUUAAGAGGCUAAAAAAGAAUUGAGAUGUGACUUAGGGCAUGACUGGUUUAAACGCAGCGGUUGCGGUUGCGGUUGCGGGAGUUUACGGAUGCGGGCGGUUGCGGUUUAUAGCGGUUUUAAGAGAUUUGUACGACUGGUAUUGCGGUUAAAAAUUGGUACGUUUGCGGGAGACUUAUGACUGGUUAACUACCAAAUGCGGUAACGGUCAAAUAAUAAAUUAAAAAUAUUUAUAUUUAAUAUACUUAUAAAAAUAUCAGAAAUCAUAAAAUUAUAAUAAAUAUAAAAUUUAUAUUUCAAAAGUUAUAAUUUUAGUUUUUUUAAAAUUAUUGAAAUUAUUAUUUUUAUAAAUUUUAUAAUAUUAAUUAAAUCUAAUAGAUAUAUUUAGAAUUUUUAUAAUUUCAAUUAUAUAAAUUUUAUAAUAUUAAUUAAAUAUAAUAGAUAUAUUUAGUAUUUUUAUAAUUUCAAUUUUAAAUUUUUUAUUAAAUAUUUUAAAUUUUGUAUAUAUAUUGUUUAAAAAAAAAUUACCCUCCCGCAACCGUCCGUAACCGCAACCGCUAGCUGGAGCCAGCUUUUGAAUUUAUGAGGUUCGGAGCGGUUUAGAGCGAUUUGAGUGAUUGUUGCAAACUGCCAACAACCGUUACCAACCGCAAAAGCUGCGUUUGCGGGUGAUAGCGGGAAAACCAGUCGCCCCCUAAGGUAUAACCUAAAUUCUAGUUUGGUUAAAGGCAACAAAGAGUGAAGUGUUGGAUAAAGCCGACUAGUUGUUAUACCUAUUGGGACUUGUUGAGAGUUGUUUAGCUUGAAGUAAGGCCUAUAGUUGUAGUAGUUAAGUGUACAAGUAUAAGUAUGUGUGUAGUUGUUGGUGAAAAAAAACAACUAUAAAUAUGUGUAAGUUUGUAUGUUUGAGAUUAAUGAAAAGGUUAACAGUUUAAAAAUCAAAGUGUUCUCUCUUCUCUCUAUAAAAGAACAAACAAACAUGAGAGUAAAGAGAGAGAGAGAGAAUGUGUGUCGUGUGUUACAUUAAAACACAAGUAAAAACAGAGUAAAACCAGAGUAUGUCCAAGAGUACAAAACAGAGAUGGAGCUGGUCGUGAGUGAAGGCAAAGACAAGAAGUUCAACAAGCUUCCAUGAGAAAGACGACCAUGUAGGAGAUCUAUGAGGCUUUCUGUUGACAAAUGUGGUCACAUCAAGGUCACUGAACCGGCUGUCCUAACUGUUUAGGAGGACAACAAUCUGUCUUGUGGAUCACAAUCUUGUCUAUGUCGAGGAAUGAUCUCUAGUCCCAUGUCUAAUAGUUUUGUUGUAUAGUCUGUUAUGUGGUCUGUAUAUGUAAUCUUUCGGUUGUAGUUGCUUUUGUAAACUAUUAUCUCUCCUUAUGUUUGAUUCUUGAUGCUUGAAGUGAGAGGUUAAUGAAAAGAAUUUGGUAAAUAGGCUCAUGUCUAUAGUAUUAUCUUGCCAAAAUUACUUGACAAUCUUGAAGUUACUUAACAUUCUUGAAAUUACUUGACACUCUUGAAAGUUAAAAAGCAUAAGACGUGACUCAGUUUAUUGUUACUUAUAAUUAUUUACAAAUAAAAAAUACCAAUCCAUCAACUUACCUUCAACAUAAGAAAAUUUCAAAACAUAUCACAUUUUUUACAACAAAUUUCUUCAUUAAACAUGUAGCAAACUUAAUUAUGUAAUAGACUUCUCAAAUAUAUCAGUUUAGCUUACACAAUAUGGAUGAUUAUGACUUUGUAUGCUACAAGUAACUGAAUCAUUCUAUACAAACGAUAUUAAACCUAACUAAAAACGUAACUAUCAUAUUCAAAACAUUAAUGAGAGAAGACUUUUGGAGAAGUCUUUUUGGAGGAUACUUCUGAGGAAGUACGUUCUCAUUAGUUAUAAACAUAACAGAACAAAAAUAUUGUUAAUCUCAUUAUUAUAGAACAUUAGUUUAUAAAAUUCAUUUAGGAGCUCCAAAAUUUACAAAUACAGAUAAAUGUUAAAUUUGAAAAAUGCAAGUAUACUAAAUUAACGAGGAAGACUUCUCAAGAAAUUUUCUCAGAGCAAACUUAUACAUGACUCUCCUAUUUAGGUUAUUUUUGAAAUUACAACUAACGAAUGAAGACUUCUUAAGAAGUAUGCUUAACUAGCAGACUUCUUGAGAAAUCUUCCUUUAUAAAUUAUUGGGAUAAUUUUCUUAUUUGGAAAAAAGCCAAAUUUUAUGAGAAUAAAAUUCUCGAGAAGUCUUAUCUGACAAUCUGAUUAAUUUUGCAACAAAAGAGAAAUUUAAUCUUUCAUAAAAGAGUUUUCGAGAAGACUUCCGGAGAAGUCUUCUUACUGUCACAUAAAGUUUCCGGAGUGUCAUAUAAAGUUUGGCAGGUUAAUUUUGCAAGUGAUCAUUUUUGACUUUACAAGAGUAAAAUUAUAGAAAAUUAUUAUAUGAGAAAACUUUCCAAUAAGUCUGUUCAUAAAACCCAAGGGUUUGACCAAAAUAUUCGAAUUAAAAUAGAGAAAACUCACAUAAGUGCGCUAAAUAAUUUUAAAAUUAAAUGUUUUAUUAUUCUUUCAAUUGCAAAACUGACCUUAACAGAUUUUUUGGGACACUUCGCAGACUUCAUAAGACAGUAAGAAGAUUUCUCCAGAAAUCUACCAACGUAACAUUAUAUAUUUCUCCAUAAGUCUUUUAUGAAAAUGUCAAAUUUCUGCAAAAUUACGGCAAGUUGCAAAACUAACCUCAUUUUUAUGGAGACUUCUCGGAAGUUUACUUGAUUGUUUUGUUAAAAUAAAAGUUAUCAGACUUCUAUAAUAGUUUUCUACGAAAACCUCACAAAAUAGUUAGUUGCAAAGCUAACCUAUGUAUUGACCAAAAGACUUUUCGAUAGAGUAGAUUUCUGGAAAAGUCUUCUAUACGAAGCUGAUCUGAAACUUUUUGAACAUCAUACCUAGAUGAUCUGAUAAAAGUUCGUGCUUAAUUUCUCUGAUCAUUCAUAACUUGUUAAUGAAAGGUACCCAUUCAUUAUUGACCAAGAAUCGUGAAUUUGAAUAACUCUAAUGAAAAUCUGAUUUUGAAAUCGAAAAUCUUGAGUUUUUGGGAUGAAUAAGAAAGAAACUGAAAGAGAAAUGAUUGUGUCUGUAAGAAAUGGUAAUAAAAGUUAACCAUUUUGGCAAAACAAAAUAUGCUCACCGCCCCUCCUGAUUUCACAUUUGGGCAGCUCAAGACGUGUGAAUAAGUACAUUUUUAUUUAUAUUUUCCAAUCCAUUUACUGCUGAAUGCAGAACAAAUCUCAUGCUCCUAAAAAUUUGAGAUGUAAAUUGCAAUUGGGAGCUAUGACUGCAUUUUGGUUUAUAUGUCUUCUUCCGGAUAACAAUGAGAACUAUAAUUGUAAUCAUGCAUAAGAUAAAGAGGAGAAAAACAGAAAUUAAAAGACUCAUAAAAGGGCAAAAAAGUUGAAUUUUCUAGAUCUAUGCAUAUAAGUUUCACCAACAUUAGUUUAUGUUUAAUUAAGUGCACUGAAAAUAAAUAAGAUUAAUUAAAGUUAAGCAAAAUGGUGAAAUUGCACUAUCCAAGUCGCAUGGGAGACUUACAGAAGAUAGAAAAUAAUAUCCUAGGUUGCAUGGAAACGGAAACGGAUACGUUGAAACGAAACGUUUCGAAACGUGGAAACGUGGAAACGUGAUUUUUGAUUUUUUAUGCUUUGGAAACGUUUUAGAAACGUCUAUAAUAUAUAAGUUUCCGAAAGAUUCUGAUUCCGAAACGUGAAACGUACAUUCGACCGAGUUUUCAUGCAACAUAGAUAAUAUCUAUGCAUGUGAGAAAGAGAACUGUCCGGUCCAACUUUGCUUUGGUUCAUGCCUUCAUGGGAUACUUGACCACCACAAAGUCUUUCAACUGCAUGAGAAAUAACAUUCUCUAAGCUAUGAGUAAAAUAAAAAUAUUUCAUUUAUAUAUUUUGAUCAAAGAGUAUACAAUAAGUCUAAAAGAGCGUUUUAUAAAUUAAAUCAUUUAUUAUUCAGUUUACAAAAUCCAAUUUAACUGUAUUGUUUGUGUUGAGCGUUUAUGAAAUUGAAGCAUAUGGGAUCACAAACUCUGUUCCUUCGAAAUCGAUCUUACCAAGACUGUUAAAUAGUAAUGACUAUCUUCUCCCUUGUCAUUGAAAUCAUUGUAUUGCUUCAACUCAGACAACUCUUGAAGUGUUACCGCACAUAGGUAACUUGCCAUUCAGGUCCAAAGAACUUGAAGAAAGGUAAGAAACGGAAUUUAGUGCCUUCAUCAUCCCAUUCGACUCUUUCAAACCAGUCUUCCUCUUUGUAUUUAAUAGCAAACUCUUCAACCCUGGAGACACUUUGAGAAUCCAAUGGGAGCUUUCUCAGCUCUGGACACUCAGUUAUGUGGAUUGUCUUUAGACAUGGAAAAGGCAAAGGUGCCCAAUAGAUGUUCUUCAACGUUGCUAAAUUGUGUAAGCGCAGACUCUCCAGUUUCUGGAAAGGAAUGGCAACACUCGUAGCUUUCUCCUGGCUUAUUAUUGCUUCUAAUAGUCCUGAUUCAAGAACCUCAAGGCUAGUGAUGUUUGGAGCGAACAAAAGCCACGUUAAAUCCUUCAGACCAUUGCAGCUGCUUAUAUGCACACUAGAGAGGUUUGGGAAGCCUUGAGUUAAUGAUAAAGUCUUCCUCUCUGCCUUUAUCUCCCACAUUUCACACUUCCUUAUGAUGACUUUACGGAGACUAUCCAUACCUGGGAAAGCCAAUACUCUGUGUGAUUCUUCCUCAAGCUCUCUAAGUACUACAACUUGAAGGCAUUUCACCAACCUGGGAGCAUAUAACAACUUCUCCACAACCAAACUUGACUUGAUACUUAUGUUGAGAACUUGUAAAUGUUCCAAGAGUUGCAACUCCUCCACUAAGCUCAUGUCUAGCGACAUUUUAGACUGUAGUAGUUGCAGUUUCCUCAAACUCAACAAAUUUGAUAUUCCUGAAACACUCUUAAGUCUCUUCAUGUAAUCCAACCUCAAAUGUAUGAGCUUUUUCAACUCUAGCAAACCAAGAGGUAGCCGCCUGAUGCAUGUCCAUGACAAGUCAAGAUAUCGCAAGGAGACCAACUCUGAUAUUUGUUCAGGCAGUGUCCGGAGACUUGAGUUCCCGGCCAGAUCCAAGACAGCGAGCAUAGGGAUACACCGGAGGAAAUCAGGUGAGAUAUGUAUCAGUGAAUCAUUUUUCUGAAGGAAGAGAGUUGUAAGUUUGGAGCACUCAGAGAUGCCAGAGACCAUCUCAAUCUCAUUUUCCAUGAGAGACAUCCUUACCACAGCACUCCAGUUCUUGAUUCUUGGUAUCUCGCAUAACCCGCCUCUGGCUUGCACAAUACAUUUUUCUUUAUCCUUCCCAAGAUCAGAUGCUGUCCAUAGAUCCAUCUCCCGAACCACAUCAUGCAUUUUCACUUGUUCUUUAUUGAUAACUUCCUCCAACAACAAACAUGCACGUACAAGUGUACCAAUGAUCUUAUAGCCUAGGCUUAAUGCUCUUUCUCUACUUUGGUUCUCAUCUAGGAACCCCUCACACAUCCAGUAGUCUAUCAACCUCUCUUUUUCCAUACGGUGAUCUUCAGGGAACAAAGAAGAAUACAGGAAGCAUGAUUUCACCUGCUCCGUGUUUAAAUUAUCAUAGCUAUACUUGAGGAUCGGGAGAAUCUCAUCUUCCAUGCCAGAAAACUCUGCAGCAUAUGAACUCAAGUGGUUAAUAGCAGUACGCCAUUCUUGUACCGUCAUUUUGCAUGCCAUGGUCUCGCCAAUGACAUUAAGUGCUAAUGGUAGACCACAGCAUUUUCCAGCGAGCUUUCUUGCGAGAUGAGGGAUGUCUGGAUGGCCUUUCAAUGUGUUUUCUCCAACUUUUUUUUAAACAAAUCCCAAGCAUCUUCUGGUUCUAGACAACUGACUUUGAUAGGGUCAUCAGCCCCCAUACGCCCACACACAUCUCUCGAACGAGUAGUAAAAGCUACUUUGCAUCCAUUUUGUCUGCUUGGAUGUGGGACUCCAACCGCUUUCAAAUUCACUUUCUCCCAUAUAUCAUCCAGCAACAACACAAACUUUCUCCUCUUGAGGACAUUGUGUAUCUCAAGGGCCCUCUGGUUUUCAUUUUUUUGGCCCCACUCCUCUCCUUCAAGGCCUAGCUUUUUGGCAAUGUCUCCUUGAAUCCUAUGGAUCUCUGGACUUUUAGACACCACAACCUAUAUCACUACCUCGAAUCCUCCUCCUCCUCCUCCUCCGCAUGUUUCGGUAAACUUGUUGUUGAUUUGUGUGAGAAGGGUGGUUUUGCCUACUCCACCCAUGCCAUACAUACCCACAACCUCGACUCCUUCUUCCAUGAGACGAGUCCAUACCCUUUCAACCAUUGUUUCUUGACCAACAAUGGUGGGUUGAACAGGCAUCUCAUCCACCUUAGCUACUAAAGUUGUCUCAGUCACCACAGAAAAUUAUCCUUGAAAAUUGAGACUCUCAACCUCCUUCAGCAUCCGAACAACCCUCUUCCCAUAAAUAUAGCUCAUCUUCAUAUUUCUAGAGCAGAGCCCACAAAGACACAACCUUCGAAGCUCAACGUUGUUAGUGCUAAACAGAUCAUUGAAUCUGUUCUCGGUGUUCAGGACAUUAGUAAGCCAUACCUGGACUUGAGAAAGCCUCUCACGACGCCCUGUAAACUCUUCUCUGCAAACCUUUCUUUGCACAUCAUCUCGCUUCGCCUUGAGCACUUCUAUGUCUUUCUGCAGAGCAGCUAGAUUCUCUGAAAGGCUGUAUAUAUAACUCUCAUGAGUGCAAAGACAUCGAGACACUUGAUUCACCACUUGGUCACAUGGCAUGGAGAUCGAGAAUAAACCUCCCAUUGCAGCAAAGAGAGAAAAAAAAGUCAGAAGCUGAGCCCACAGUGAGUGACAAUUAAUAAUUACAAGCAGAAUGAGUAGAUAAGAACACACAGCCGUAUAUUAAAGUUCAACCACCCAUAGUGGGAAAAUAAUACAAAGGUGUUAGUUAUCUGCUGUAAAACAAAAUACAACUUGCUUUACAGCUCAAACACAGGUAGGGACCAUGAAGACCUGAAUGCAAUUUGCAAACAUCACUCUCCCGUUCUGUAACUUCGCUACAACCAUCUUCAUGGACACGCUCAAAAAAUAAGAAGAAACUUUGAUAUAUUAGUUUCAGAUAAUUGGCAUAAACAUAGACAGAGAACAAACAUAUUUGCAAUCUAUCAUCAGUUCAUGCAAGACAGCAAACAAACCCAAUCUGUAGAACUGCAAUCAUCUUAGAACGACGGUGACCUCAAAUUGAUGGACGUAUCCGUACCGGAGACGUUUCCGGGACGGCACGGGGGGACACUUUGGGGAUGGCAACCAUUAAUUAUGGAAUGUUUCAAAACAGAUUUGCUUUAACAUUAUCCUUUCCUAAGCUUAUUCACUUACUUUUCUUCCAAAUAAAAAUAAAAAAUACAAGUUUUAACUAGAUUUUGAACUUAUAACCUUUUUACUAGUAUUUUUGGUUUAUAAAUUUUUAUUAGAUAAGAUUUACAGUGAUAUUUUUUUAUUUUUCAUUAUAUCAAUAACAUAUAUGCUACUCAUAAUUUUUAGUUUUGCCGUUUCGUCCCCCGCUUUCGUACCCCGUAUCCGUCUCGGUACAACAUAGGAUACAUGACUUAACAAGCAUCAUUUUUAUCGACAAAAUAAAAUAAAUUCACUUGAGAAAGGAGCAUUUCAAAAAAUCUUCAUAGAGAGAAAUCACCACACAGGUGGCGUUCACACUGAAAUUUGAUCAAAUCAGCCCAAUUAUAUAGGGUAUAACUAUAGACUGACUCAGAAACAAAAUAAAUAGAAACAUAAAACACACAAAAAAGAGCAAUUACGCGAGUAAUAAUCUCAGAUACUCUUAAUGAGGCAAAAUUUAUUCUGGCAUACUCUUACAAAUUCUAAAAUACUCUCUACUCUUAGUGAAAUAAGAAAUUUCCAAUUUUGCCCUUACAUUUUCCCUCCUCACUUGAAAAAUUAAAUUUUGAAUUUUGGGUAUCAAAUUCAAAAUAUGAAUUUUGAAUUUUAGUAAAACUAAAAACCAAAUUAAACCAAGUUACACCAAUGCCGAAGUACAAACUUGGUAUAACUAUGUCAUAGUUUUACCAAGUUAUACCUCGAAGAUGGUAUAACUCGGUUUUAGUUUUACCAAGUUGUACAUUUGUCAAGGUACAACUUGGUAAAACUAUAACCUAGUUAUACAGUUUUACCAACGAUUGCACGAGUUGAUAAAACUAGUACAAAGUUUUACUAAAUUGUACUAUUGUCGAAGUACAACUUUGUAAUACUUUGAACCUAGUUUAAUCAUGUUCUACGGUUUUACAAAGUUGUACUUUAACGAUUGUAUAACUUGGUAAAACUUUGUUUCUGGGUAGAAGUUUUACUUACACAUUUCUCAUAUAUUCUUGCAGCAAGCCAGAUUUGUAGAGAGAGAGAGAGAGAGAGAGAGAGAGAGAGAGAGAGAGAGAGAGAGAGAGAGAGAGAGAGAGAGAGAGAGAGAGAGAGAGAGAGAGAGAGAGAGAGAGAGAGAGAGAGAGAGAGAGAGAGAGAGAGAGAGAGAGAGAGAGAGAGAGAGAGAGAGAGAGAGAGAGAGAGAGAGAGAGAGAGAGAGAGAGGGAGGAAAGAGGAAAACAUAUGAUAUUUGAAGAAGAACCCUAAAAUUGCGAACAAAGAACAACAAAUCAAAAAAGAGGAGAAACAUAUAAGAUUUGGAGAAGAAUGGAUUCGAAGAAGAAGAGAUUCGAAGAAGAACAAAGGAAAAGCAGAACAACCGAAGAAGAAGAAAAUUAAAGACAAAAAAGAUUUGGAUCGGAGAAUGAAAAAGAAGAGAGAAAAAGAGAAGAGAGAAAAAAGAGAAGAGAGAAAGAAGAUGAAGAAUAGAAAUGAAAUAUAGAUUUGUAGAGAUAAGAGAUAAAAUUAGGUUUAGUGGCAUGUUGUGUAAAUAAGUAGAUUCAUAUUGGGUAUAUUGGAUUUUUUAUCAGAUUUCGAAUUAAAAAUAAAUGAAAAUGAAAUGAAUUAAAAGAGAAGAGUACUGGAGAAUGCUGUUUUUUUUUGAAGAGAAGUGGAGCAAUUGAUUCCAAUUACGCAGCAGAAUCUUUUUGUUAAGAUGUUAAGAUCUUAGGAGUUUGAUAGUAAUUUUGUGAAUGAACCCAAGUCGUAUAUCUAUGUAAAUUUCCAUCAAUCAAGAAGACAACACAAUUUAAUAUUGUAAGAUUCCAAUAAUAUCAAAGAGUACACAAAUUAUUAUACCGAACUUGGAAUGUGGUGAACAAUCUUAGUCCAACUCGUUGCAAUAUUUGAAUCAGCAAAAAUCGGGAAUUCUCGUGUAAUGUUCCAAGAAUAACAAUUGAUAUAGAUGAUGCUAGUUGCAGGCGUUAUUAAAAUGGCUCUGUAAUUUUUCAUUCUGAUAAACAAUAGAAAGUUGAUGCAUAAACAAUAGGAAUGAUUGUUUGACUUUUAUGAAUGCCGUACCCGCGGGAUCAAAACGCCAAAUAACCUUUUUCUAAUGGAAAGAUUAGUUUCACCAAUUUUCCAAUCUGAGUCCACAACCCCAAGCCGGUCAGUCAGUUUCAUCUAAUGGAACCUGCUUACAAAACAUGGUUGUUUGAACCGAGAACUAUCGACAAACUAGUAAGAAGAAGAGACGAGAACUUGUCGGUGGGUCAAGACAAAAUCGUUUAUUAGAUUAUAGAAUCGUUUGAUUGAGUUACAAAACGGGAAAUAUGCAGUAGAAAGUAAGUCGGUGAAAGCUAGUUCGCCGGAAGGUACAAGUCGGCGAGAGUAAGAUGUAAAACCCUAAUUCUAGCCAAAAGUUGUACUAAGGAUUUGGGAGAAUUCUAGUUUUUAUUCAAAUCUCUCCUUAUUGUAUCUAGUAUUUAUAAAAGUUAUAUCAAAUCCACCCUUAUUGAAUUAAUCAUUUAUUCAAAUUCUUUCAAAUCCCCCCUUAUUGGAAAACAAAGAUUUCAGUCCUAAUAUUUAUCAAGAGUUAUUUGGAAUUAUUAGGUCAUUGGUUUUAUAGACAAAAUUCACCGGAAACAAAUACCAUCUAAUGAGAUGGUAUUUCAAAAUAAAUAAACAAAACAAUUUUUUUCAUCUUCUUCGUCUAAUCUACGUCGUCUGUCUCUUCUUCGUUAGCUUUGGUCUUUUGACAGUACCAAGACUAGAGAUAUUUGAGUGUCAAUUUUAAUUCGAUGGAGGAGUACCAAGUGCAGUUAACUAUGGCGAUCAACAUCUUAUCAUGUUUUAGUGUUUAGAUGAACAGAAAUUGUGAGUUCUUCUUCAAGCAAACAUGGAGAAAGUGUGCUCGCAUGAGAGAGAAGGAAGAAGACAAAAUAAAGGAAUAUUUCUGUUAGCCAUUUACGUGUGAUGAAUAUGUCACUAUAUACACUUGAUCUAAUCAGCUAACCGGAACAAACCGGGUUUGUAAUAUGUGCAAACUAAACCAAUAAAACUAUAAUGAACCAAUAUUCCCCCUCAAGAUGGAGCAUAGAUGUUAAUGAACUCCAUCUUGCUUAACAAAUGACGGAAGGGACCAGGGUAUAAAGGUUUAGUCAACAGAUCGGCUAGCUGAUUCUCCGAACGGACGUGGAGAGUCUUGAUCAUGCCAGACUUGACGCGUUCCCGAACGAUAUGACAAUCCCGUUCGACGUGUUUGGUUCGUUCGUGGAAAACAGAGUUGUUGGCAAUAUGUAUGGCAGCAGUGUUGUCACAAUAGAGAGGAGCAGGGCCUGUACUUCCAAUCCAAAGGUCUUCAAGAAGAUUUUGAAACCAAAUCAUUUCUCGUACAGCUUCAGACAUGGUGCGAUAUUCCGAUUCAGCAGUUGAACAAGAUACAGUGUCUUGUUUAUUUGACUUCCAAACGAUGAGGGCAGUGCCAACGAAUACACAGAGUCCUGAUACGCUACGGCGAGUGUCACCACAAGAACCCCAAUCCGCAUCAGCAAAUGCAGAAAGUUUCAAAUCAGAAGUCGAAGAAUAGAAGAGACCUUGUCCAACCGUGCCCUUCAAGUAAUGUAAAACUUUAUAAGCUGCGUGCAUAUGAGGGGUACGAGGGGAGGCAGUAAACUGACAUAGUUUGUGAACCGCAAACGUAAUGUCAGGACGUGUAAAUGUCAGAUACAAGAGUUUCCCCACUAAGCGUCGAUACCUCUCUGCAUUAUCCAAUAAAUCACCAUCUUCUGAAGAGAGUUUGAUGCUAGGAUCCAUGGGAAUGGAAGAGGGCUUGCAUCCCAGUAAACCUGUCUCAGUAAGGAGAUCAAGAAUAUAUUUGCGUUGGCAAAGAGUGAUGCCUGCAGAGGAGCGAGCUAUCUCUAAACCCAAAAAAUAACGAAGAUGACCCAAGUCUCGUAAUUUGAAAGAAGUCUGUAAUGCUUUCUUAAGGAGCUCUGUAGCAUGAUCACAACUACUGGCGAUGAUAAUAUCACCAAUGUAAACCAAGACAACCAUAUAAACAUUACCGGCAUGUUUGGUAAAGAGUGUGUGAUCACCAGAAGAAGUUUCAAAACCCAUUUGAAGCAAAGAAGCAGAGAACUUCAAAAACCAUUGACGAAACGCUUGUUUUAGACCAUACAAGGAUUUCUUGAGCUUGCAAACCGCAUUAGGUGGGAAAGAUUCCCCCUGCUUAGGUGCAUAUCCAGGUGGUAAAGUCAUAUAGAUCUCCUCCUCCAAGUCGCCAUUGAGAAAGGCAUUGGAUAUAUCCAGCUGAGACAAUGACCAGCCUUUAGCUGCUGCAACAGCAAGAAGAAGUUUCACAGUAGCUGUCUUAGCCACAGGAGCAAAAGUUUCAACAUAGUCCAAACCUUCUUGCUGAGUAUACCCUUUAGCCACAAGACGUGCUUUGUAUCUCUCAAGGGUCCCAUCUGCAUUGAUCUUAAUCUUGUAAACCCAUUUGCAACCCACUGCUUUCUUUCCAGCUGGGAGUGAACAAACAAACCAUGUAUCAUUGUCCUCUAGAGCCGUAAUUUCAAUAUGCAUAGCGUCACACCAUUCUUUCAAUUUGCAGGCUUGAGCAUAAGAAGAGGGCUCUGGAUUGCUAUUAAGAGCAUUGAUAAAAAUCAUAAACGCAUUUGAUAAAGCAUCGUAGGACAGAACAUUAGAUAUAGGAUGUUCAGUAGAAGAUGAAGCAGAGGAACAAAGAUAAUCCUUGAGAUGAGGUGGCGGUUUGGAAACUCGCUUGGAGGGAAGAGUAACCUCAGGAGACAUAGUCGGAGUAGUGGAUGAAGAAGCAGGUGUAGAUGAAUCCAAAGGAGUGAAAACCCGAGAAAAGAAAUCUUCAUAACCAUUGGGUAAAACAUCCUGAAGAAAUGGAAACAAAUUCUCAUGAAACACUACAUUCCGAGAGAUGAAGAUAGAAUUACUCUGAAUAUCAAGGAGUUUAUAUCCUUUAUAGCCUGAAGGGUAUCCAAGGAAAGCACACGCACGAGCUCGAUCUUGGAAUUUAUGACGUUGCUUUGGAGAAGUACUUGCAUAGCAGAGACAACCAAAAGUUUUCAAAUGAGAAAAGUCAGGAGCCUUGCCAGUGAGUAGUUCAUAAGGCGUGGUGUUACCAAUGACAGGGGAAGGCGUUCUGUUGAUAAGAAACACUGAUGUGAGGAUACAAUCACCCCAAAAACUUAAUGGAACACCAGACUGAAACAUCAAAGCCCGAGCAACGUUAAGUAGAUGUUGGUGUUUUCUUUCAACGACCGAGUUCUGCUCAGGAGUCUCAGGACAGGAGUGGUACGAGAUGAUGCCCUUGGCUUUGUAUAAGGCCUCAAAGCGAAGUUCUGGUGCAUUAUCUGCGCGAACUGACUUGAUUUUUGCAUCAUACUGAGUCUCAACAAGUUUGAUGAAGUCCGGAAAUAAAGUUAAGACGUCACUCUUCAGUUUGAGCAAGUAAACCCAAGUAACUCUUGUGUGAUCAUCCACUAUGGUGAGAAAGUAUCUGUAACCCUCCUGUGUAGAUUCAGAAAACGGACCCAAGACAUCAAUGUGGAGCAACUCAAAUGGUUUAGAACAUUGUUUAGGAUUCAAAGAAUAAGAUAACUUCUUUUGCUUAGCACGAUGGCAAAUGUCACAGUGUAACAACCCUUUAUUCUUUGCUUUAGAAAUCCCAAGUACAUCAUGUAGAAGUUUUAAUCUUUUAAAAGAAGUAUGACCAAAACGUUGAUGCCAAACAGAUGCAUCAAUAACAGCAUUAGAAUGAAAAGGAGACGAAACCAAAUCCUCUACGCCAGCAUCUUCCAAGUCCAGAACGUACAGGUUUGCUAUCCGACUACCUUUUCCAAUCAUCAACCCCCUGGAAGGAUCCUGUAUUUCAAAACAACCAGAAUCAAAGACCACGCGAGCACCAAUGUCUGAAGUCAAAGAACUGAUACUCAUGAGGUUCAAUCUGAAUUCGGGGAUAAACAACACAUUCUGUAGUGUCAAGGUCUUUGAAAUAAUUAUCUGACCAACACCACCAACUUUAAUAGUAGAACCAUUAGGAAGAUUCACAAAGUGGUGAACAGAAGUGUCAAGAGUGGUGAAAGCACCACGUUCAUGAGAAACAUGGUGAGUAGCACCAGAGUCAAUGAUCCAUGUGUUAGGAUCAGUAACACAAUUGGCAACAUUCAAAAUUCCAAUAAAACUGAAGGUGGAAGAAGAGAAUGUGAAACAAUUCAGAAGUCCUAAGUGAAACAAUUGUUAUAUACAAAUCACGGUUUGCAAUUUUUUGUAUCAUUGUUUGGGCUUUGGUCAUGUUUUUGUCCACUUUGUGUUAAAAAGUUUUGUAUUACUUUUUUUCAAGUCUAUUUUUUCAUAAAUUAUAUGUUAGUUAUUAUAUUGAUAAUGAUUAGAAUAUAUAUGGAUAUGAUAUGUGUUGAACUGAUAAGAACUGCUUAAGAUUAUCUCUUCUUUAGUUAAACUAAAAAUUGCAUAAGUAUACCUGAAUAUCAAACUCCUAUAAAAAUAUACGUGCAGCUCCUUUGCUACUGAGAUCAUUCAUUGCUUUUCUGAAUGUUCUUAACUCUCUUGGCCUCAAACAUGGUCAGACAAAGUCUUCUCUCUAGCCUUCUCAGCCUUCGAUUUGUUGAUACUUUGCAUCAGAACACGCUUGUUCUUGAAAAUGUUUCCCUUGACUUUCAUCUACAUGUCAUGGUACAUGUGCUUGUCAAUCUUCUUGGACUCUCUGUACUUCUUAAGAAGACGCCUCAAAACUCUUGUCCUCCUCAUCCAUAACACCUUUGUUGGCAGCCUUGUACCCUUUCUCUUACUGUAACCAGAGUGACGUCCCUUCAUUUUAGCAAUCUUCGUACGGCGAGUUUGGAAAGUGAGUGGAUCUUUGUCGGCUUCCUGAUGAUGAAACCUUCCUUCACAAGCUUCUUAUGUUUUGGCCCGAAUUGGCCAGAUAUCUUUGGAAAUAUACUUUUAUUUUAUUUUAAAAGUCUAGAAAAUCCCUCAUCAAAACCCCUGAUAAAAUCCUUAAAAUCCAAAUAGAUUCAUCUAAAUCCCAUCUAGAUCCCACCAUAUAUGAAAUCCCUAGUAUUUUUCCAAAUCCUUAGUACAAUAAGCCCCCCUAGUGUGUGGAGAUUUGUGGAUCCCUUCCUUGUUGCUUCUUCCCUCCCUUAUAUAGGCGGUCGUUCGAUAACCUAGCUCGCCUUUGCCUGAUGUGCCUUUCGUUGGUUAGGCAGAGCUUUCGGACCGCUCCUUCGAGUCGUCGAGUCGACUGCCUUAAGUCGCUCGUUUGAUCGACUAAAAGCAGUCUUGAGUCGACCCAAUCGGUCGUUCGCGAGCCGGUGAGCCGAGUUUUCUCUACAUAGUUACAGGUCAUGACAACUAUCCUGUGAGCCUUUUAGGAGGGUCAGGCCCAUACCCAACAGUAAGUCCCCUCAGUUCACUGGUGAGUAGCGUAGCGUACUCAGUAAAUUUGGAAGUAAGGUCUGAGGGAUAGAUGUUCUGGACUUGUGAUCUCGCUUAUUUCUUUGGCUGGAUGUUUCGCGUGUCUUCUUCGCGACUGAUCGCUGCAUGUUGCGCUGGGGUAUCAGUCAUUGAAUUUUUUUGGUUUGGACAAACCGAUAGUUUCCUUCGUUUUCGGGCAUAACCAAUGGUUUUCUUUGGUUUCGGGCAAAACCGAUUUUGGCCUAAACCGGUUCUGGUUCGCCUCGAGAAGUCGAAACGUCGCGAGACAGCGUGGGCAUCCACGCGCUUUAAUGGGUCCAUCUAAGCCCGUUUAGACCUAAUGAUGACGCCUCGGGGGAUGUGGCGCUCUUUCCUUAUAAAUACCCCUCUCGCCUCUCACUUUUCUCAUUCUUCAUCUGAUUCAAGUACUUUCUCUCUCCUUCCAUCUGCUUCUCCCUCUAGCUUUCUAGUCGUAGAUUCUAGGAUUUCGCGUGUUAUCCUUCGAUAGUCAUCAUGUCGACGAGUGGGAGAUUGUCUCGAAAACAUAAAGGGAAGACGGUAGCGACCGGCUCGAGUCCUGCGAAAGGUUCGGGAGAUUCUCUCACCGAACUCGAUGCGAAUCAUUUGUGAAAUGCUUUGUUGACUACCUUUUUCUUUAACUGGUCGUGACUGUUUUCCUAAAAUCAAACUGUGCAAAAAAGUAUGCACGACAUGAUAUAAGACUGUUUUUAAUGUUUGUAAACUAGUGCGUCGAAACUAUUUUAGCAGAAAACUCUUGUAGUUUAGAGCAAACAAGAUAAGAUAAUGACAUAAAUAACAUACUAGAAUUUCUAUACUAAAGCACUUGAUCGUGGUAACAUUUCUUAUGAGUCCCUAUGAUACUAGAAUCACUUAACUCCCAAUUAAGCCACCAAUCUCUCUUCUGACUUUCAACUGUUUCAGAAGCAGUUUUAGCGUUCCUUUUAACAUCAGAUUCAGAAUGGAGCCUUGAUUAUCAUCAGCAUACACAUCCACGAAUGUAAGGAUAUUUAGUAUUUACAUAUUUGAUUUCUCUUUUGUCAUACUUCCAAAGUUGGUUUUCAAACGAGUUGGCAAUAUAAUAUGAAUAGCCUGGAGGCAGAAAUUUUGAAAUUACAAUUUGGAUUUAAUUUGAAUGUAAAUGUGUAGAGCUAGGAGGAUGAUACUGUUUACGUGAAUUUAACAAAAUGAUGAAGCGUACAUGCUAGGAUUAUGAUGAAUCCGAUUGACGUGUGAGUGGUAAUAGAUCUUAGAUACAAAAUUAAUGCUUUGGAAGUUUAGGAACACAGCCCUUGUUAAUGAUGGUUCGAUUUUUCUGUAUAUUAGAUAUAUCAUGUAUAUUUCUCCUAAUACGAUUAUGUUAAGUUUCCAAUAAUUUAGGAUAUAGAAUCUUUUAGGAUCUAUCUUUACUUGGGAUGGAAGUUAUCUCUUAUAAGACUUUCUUAUAUAUAUAUAUAUAUAUAUGUAUGCGAUUUACCCUAUGAGUGAUAUCACAAUAGAGAGCUUUACUUGGUAUCAGAGCAGGCCCAACACCCUGACCCAUUAAUUCGGUUCGGACAGUGGCCCGAUCAUCCCAUUAGAUGAUGGUCUAUAGAAGGUUCUGUUUCGCCGAGAUUGCUAGAAAAUAAAGCAUUGUCUUGGAGAGAGUAUGAUGGAUUCUGCGAGGUUAAUGGUUAUAUGCACCAUUAUCUCGAGGGAGGAUGUUGGAGAGAAGAUCCCACAUUAGAAAUAUGUAUGAGACUUGAGUAAUAUAUAAGGGACUUAGACCACUCCACUUACCACCAAUUGGUUUUAAGUUGGAAGCCCAGAAAACUUGACAUGGUAUCAGAGCUAGAUUAUGAUCCUGGGACCUGUGGGUUAUGGGCCCAGUCUGAAAUUACAGCACUAGAAGACAAACAUACUUGGGAUGUGACCACUCUUCCUCUGGAAAAACAUGCUCUUGGGUGUAAAUGGGUCUUCAAGAUCAAAUAUAACUCAGACGGCACCAUCGAGCGUAAGCUCGCUUAGUCACCUAUGGAAAUCAGCAGCAAGAGGGCGGAGACUUCAAUGAAACAUUCGCUCAUGUCGUUAAAUUAACUACCGUUCGAGUUUUACUCAAAAUUGCUGCCACAUAAAAUUGGAACUUGUACCAGAUGGACGUCCACAAUGCAUUCUUGCAUGGUGACUUAGACGAAGAAGUAUAUAUGAGACAGCCACCAGGUUUCUCAUCUCCUAGAAGAAUGUUGUUUGCAAAAUUCAAAAGUCACUCUAUGGUCUUAGACAAACACCACGGUGCUGGUUUGCCAAGCUCUCUGAAGCCCUACUUAAAUUUGGUUUCAUCCAGAAUCGUAAGGAUUACUCUCUGUUCUCCUACGUCGACGGCAAUACAAAGCUAUAUGUUCUUGUUUAUGUGGAUGAUUUGAUAAUUGGCGGUAACAAUGAGGCUUUUACUGAAAAAUUCAAAGCCUACUUAAGUAAGUGCUUCCGCAUGAAGGACCUUGGUAUUCUUAAAUAUUUUUUGAGAAUAGAAGUAUCUUGUGCAAACAAAGGCAUCUAUCUCUCACAAAGAAAAUACGUCUUGGAUAUUAUUUCAGAAUGUGGUUUGUCUGGUUCAAAACCGUUUGACACGCCUGUAGAACAGAAUCACACUCUUGGACAAGAGGUGGGUAAAUAUCACACAAAUCCAGCAUAAUAUCGUAGGUUAGUUGGUCGGCUUGUGUAUCUCGUUAUCAACCGACCAGAGCUAAGCUACGCGGUUCACCUCCUAGCGCAAUUUAUGGCUAAGCCACGCAAGAAACACUGGGAAGCUGCUGUUCGAGUGGUUCGAUACUUAAAAAGAUGUCCUGGUCAAGGUCUUUUCUUGGAUUCACAACCGUCUCUGAACCUUGCGAUUUAUUGCGAUGCUGACUGGUCGGGAUGUCCGGGAACAAGACGGUCUCUCACUAGUUUUGUUAUCUUUCUUGGUGAUACACCAAUUUCAUGGAAGACAAAGAAACAGCCUACUGUUUCCAGAUCAUCAGCAGAGGCUGAAUAUCGAGCCAUGUCUUACACUUACUCGGAGUUACAAUGGUUGUUGGAGCUUCUGACAGCGUUCGACAUUACACAAACAGAGCCGAUACCAAUGUACUGUGAUAACAAGGAUGCUUUGCAUAUUGCUGCAAACCCUGUGUUUCAUAUGCGCCCCAAACAUAUUGAAUCUGAUUGUCAUAUUAUCCGAGAUGCAAUUAAGAACAAGAUCAUUUCUACAAAACAUGUCAGUUCUCAAGAUCAGAUUACCGAGUUUCUUACAAAAGCUCUUGGACGACGUCAGUUCAACUAUUUACUGUGCAAGAUGGGAGUUUGAGAUCUACACUCUCCAUCUUUAAGAGGAGUAUUAGAUAUAUCAUAUAUAUUUCUCCUAAUACGAUAAUGUUAAGUUUCAAAUAACUUAGGAUAUAGGAUCUAUCUUUACUUGGGAUGGAAGUUAUCUCUUAUGAGACCUUCUCAUAUAUAUAUGUAUGCGNNNNNNNNNNNNNNNNNNNNNNNNNNNNNNNNNNNNNNNNNNNNNNNNNNNNNNNNNNNNNNNNNNNNNNNNNNNNNNNNNNNNNNNNNNNNNNNNNNNNNNNNNNNNNNNNNNNNNNNNNNNNNNNNNNNNNNNNNNNNNNNNNNNNNNNNNNNNNNNNNNNNNNNNNNNNNNNNNNNNNNNNNNNNNNNNNNNNNNNNNNNNNNNNNNNNNNNNNNNNNNNNNNNNNNNNNNNNNNNNNNNNNNNNNNNNNNNNNNNNNNNNNNNNNNNNNNNNNNNNNNNNNNNNNNNNNNNNNNNNNNNNNNNNNNNNNNNNNNNNNNNNNNNNNNNNNNNNNNNNNNNNNNNNNNNNNNNNNNNNNNNNNNNNNNNNNNNNNNNNNNNNNNNNNNNNNNNNNNNNNNNNNNNNNNNNNNNNNNNNNNNNNNNNNNNNNNNNNNNNNNNNNNNNNNNNNNNNNNNNNNNNNNNNNNNNNNNNNNNNNNNNNNNNNNNNNNNNNNNNNNNNNNNNNNNNNNNNNNNNNNNNNNNNNNNNNNNNNNNNNNNNNNNNNNNNNNNNNNNNNNNNUUUAGAAAAUUAAAUUAGAUGUUGUUAAAAUUAAUAUCACGUAGUGAACCAUCUGGAGGUGUAGUAGCGAGGUUUGAUCUAUCGGUAUAGUUUAAUAGUUAUAUGAUCUAUCAGUGUAGUUAGACUAGACCUUCAAUGUUUUGUAGAUUUUGAGUUUUUGGUUUUCUUUGAUCAAAAAAUCAUUUAAUCACCCGUUAAACUUUAGAAUAAUCGAAAGCCAAAAAGAAAACUGCAUCCAUUCAUGACUAGUCUAUUCCGACACACUGGUAUAAAAAGCUUUAUGAAUGAAUUGACUUAAACUCACUUCUCAGAUUUGCAAAAGUCGAUAUAUGGAAGUAACUGAGUGAAUACUAAUUUAAAUACACGUUGUCAGAAAAGAACUUACAUGAGCGAAACAGAGAACUUCUUGGCUUCUUGCAUGAGGAGAUCAUCCUUCAUAACUCCAUCUCCAUUAUUGCUAAAUGGAAAAGAAUGAAACUUAUCACUUGUAUAAAGAAGUUCUAUGGUAUACAUUACGCGACGGCGACUUCUAUAAGCUUCCACAAUACUCUUCAGAUCGGGAAAGAAGAAACAAGAAUCUCCACGUUGAUGCAUUUGUUUUUAUUAUAAGUAGGCCAUCUACUCUGUAAAAAAACAGUGGAAAAGACAAUAAAGGUCAAUACUAUGAUUUGGACGAUAUUCUCGCUGCUGGUGCCUGGUGUUUAAUGGAAGUUGUAUUGGAGGUAAUAGUUAUGGGGUGCACAAAUAUCUACUUGAAAUAAUUUGGGGUGCAAUUUUGUGAACCAAAUAUUAUGUAUUGAUCCCAAAUAUGAAUUUAAUUUGUUAGUUCCAAUGUAUGUCUGGUCUUUCGUAUUACUAUAUGACUAGGAUAAGACCCGCGCCUUGCGCGGGAUUAAGUUAUUAUUUUUAUUAUAUUUUGGAGAAUGAAACAAUAGUUUGGCUUCAUUUGGAUUAAUCCGGAUAUCGGGUUGAUUUCGGUUCGGUUUGGUUUUUUUCGGUAUUUGGUUAGUAAAAUAUAACUACUAUUCUAUAUACAUAUUUACUUUGACUUUAGUCUUUCACAUACUUUUGAAAGAUUUCAACUGGACGACUAAAUUGAUCAGCCAAUCUUGUUGCUUUAAAUCAUUAGUGUUUAUAUAUAUAUAUAUUAUUUAGUUUGAAUAUUUAUUAAAUAAAAAUUCAUAUGCGUUAUAUUUUAUGAUCAUUUGUAACUUAUUAUAACAAAAAAAUAAUCUAUUGAUCACAAAAUUUUCAGAGUGGGAAUAUUCAAAUUUCUAAUAAUAUAUAGACGUUUUGAAAAAUUCAAAUAUAACAUAUAAGAAAAAAUAUAAAUGUUUUUAUUAUAUAUUUAAUGUGAUUUUUUAAUAUCUUUCAAUAAUAUAAAAUUAAAAAAAAANNNNNNNNNNNNNNNNNNNNNNNNNNNNNNNNNNNNNNNNNNNNNNNNNNNNNNNNNNNNNNNNNNNNNNNNNNNNNNNNNNNNNNNNNNNNNNNNNNNNNNNNNNNNNNNNNNNNNNNNNNNNNNNNNNNNNNNNNNNNNNNNNNNNNNNNNNNNNNNNNNNNNNNNNNNNNNNNNNNNNNNNNNNNNNNNNNNNNNNNNNNNNNNNNNNNNNNNNNNNNNNNNNNNNNNNNNNNNNNNNNNNNNNNNNNNNNNNNNNNNNNNNNNNNNNNNNNNNNNNNNNNNNNNNNNNNNNNNNNNNNNNNNNNNNNNNNNNNNNNNNNNNNNNNNNNNNNNNNNNNNNNNNNNNNNNNNNNNNNNNNNNNNNNNNNNNNNNNNNNNNNNNNNNNNNNNNNNNNNNNNNNNNNNNNNNNNNNNNNNNNNNNNNNNNNNNNNNNNNNNNNNNNNNNNNNNNNNNNNNNNNNNNNNNNNNNNNNNNNNNNNNNNNNNNNNNNNNNNNNNNNNNNNNNNNNNNNNNNNNNNNNNNNNNNNNNNNNNNNNNNNNNNNNNNNNNNNNNNNNNNNNNNNNNNNNNNNNNNNNNNNNNNNNNNNNNNNNNNNNNNNNNNNNNNNNNNNNNNNNNNNNNNNNNNNNNNNNNNNNNNNNNNNNNNNNNNNNNNNNNNNNNNNNNNNNNNNNNNNNNNNNNNNNNNNNNNNNNNNNNNNNNNNNNNNNNNNNNNNNNNNNNNNNNNNNNNNNNNNNNNNNNNNNNNNNNNNNNNNNNNNNNNNNNNNNNNNNNNNNNNNNNNNNNNNNNNNNNNNNNNNNNNNNNNNNNNNNNNNNNNNNNNNNNNNNNNNNNNNNNNNNNNNNNNNNNNNNNNNNNNNNNNNNNNNNNNNNNNNNNNNNNNNNNNNNNNNNNNNNNNNNNNNNNNNNNNNNNNNNNNNNNNNNNNNNNNNNNNNNNNNNNNNNNNNNNNNNNNNNNNNNNNNNNNNNNNNNNNNNNNNNNNNNNNNNNNNNNNNNNNNNNNNNNNNNNNNNNNNNNNNNNNNNNNNNNNNNNNNNNNNNNNNNNNNNNNNNNNNNNNNNNNNNNNNNNNNNNNNNNNNNNNNNNNNNNNNNNNNNNNNNNNNNNNNNNNNNNNNNNNNNNNNNNNNNNNNNNNNNNNNNNNNNNNNNNNNNNNNNNNNNNNNNNNNNNNNNNNNNNNNNNNNNNNNNNNNNNNNNNNNNNNNNNNNNNNNNNNNNNNNNNNNNNNNNNNNNNNNNNNNNNNNNNNNNNNNNNNNNNNNNNNNNNNNNNNNNNNNNNNNNNNNNNNNNNNNNNNNNNNNNNNNNNNNNNNNNNNNNNNNNNNNNNNNNNNNNNNNNNNNNNNNNNNNNNNNNNNNNNNNNNNNNNNNNNNNNNNNNNNNNNNNNNNNNNNNNNNNNNNNNNNNNNNNNNNNNNNNNNNNNNNNNNNNNNNNNNNNNNNNNNNNNNNNNNNNNNNNNNNNNNNNNNNNNNNNNNNNNNNNNNNNNNNNNNNNNNNNNNNNNNNNNNNNNNNNNNNNNNNNNNNNNNNNNNNNNNNNNNNNNNNNNNNNNNNNNNNNNNNNNNNNNNNNNNNNNNNNNNNNNNNNNNNNNNNNNNNNNNNNNNNNNNNNNNNNNNNNNNNNNNNNNNNNNNNNNNNNNNNNNNNNNNNNNNNNNNNNNNNNNNNNNNNNNNNNNNNNNNNNNNNNNNNNNNNNNNNNNNNNNNNNNNNNNNNNNNNNNNNNNNNNNNNNNNNNNNNNNNNNNNNNNNNNNNNNNNNNNNNNNNNNNNNNNNNNNNNNNNNNNNNNNNNNNNNNNNNNNNNNNNNNNNNNNNNNNNNNNNNNNNNNNNNNNNNNNNNNNNNNNNNNNNNNNNNNNNNNNNNNNNNNNNNNNNNNNNNNNNNNNNNNNNNNNNNNNNNNNNNNNNNNNNNNNNNNNNNNNNNNNNNNNNNNNNNNNNNNNNNNNNNNNNNNNNNNNNNNNNNNNNNNNNNNNNNNNNNNNNNNNNNNNNNNNNNNNNNNNNNNNNNNNNNNNNNNNNNNNNNNNNNNNNNNNNNNNNNNNNNNNNNNNNNNNNNNNNNNNNNNNNNNNNNNNNNNNNNNNNNNNNNNNNNNNNNNNNNNNNNNNNNNNNNNNNNNNNNNNNNNNNNNNNNNNNNNNNNNNNNNNNNNNNNNNNNNNNNNNNNNNNNNNNNNNNNNNNNNNNNNNNNNNNNNNNNNNNNNNNNNNNNNNNNNNNNNNNNNNNNNNNNNNNNNNNNNNNNNNNNNNNNNNNNNNNNNNNNNNNNNNNNNNNNNNNNNNNNNNNNNNNNNNNNNNNNNNNNNNNNNNNNNNNNNNNNNNNNNNNNNNNNNNNNNNNNNNNNNNNNNNNNNNNNNNNNNNNNNNNUUUUUAACAUAAUAAUUUUAAUAGUUUUAGUCAUUUAUUGUCGUUUUUAAAAAUUCAAAAUAUAACAUAUACGAAAAAAUCUAAAUUUUAUUUUUAUAGCUAAUUUGAUUGUUUAAUUUAUUUUAAUAAUAUAAAAUUAAACAAAAAAUGAUGGAGGAGAUAUACAUUGUUAUCAAAUCUUUAUUAUUAAACUCAUUAAUUGUCAUAUAUAUAUUAGUCAUUUAUGGUAAUUCCGUAGGUUUUAUUUAAGGAAAGAAAAUAUCAUAUCAUAUCAUUAUAUCAUAUAGUUUGACCAACUUAUGUAUCUAACAACAUAUAAAAAUCGAAUGUGGACCUACUUAUUUUUCAAUUGAAUGUAAUUGACUACCUAAUUGAGUGCCACCUAUGCAUUGGGGUCUCUUUUAAUUAAUACAAAAUUGAGGUUACAUUUUUUCAAAUGUUCCUCAAUUAAUAUAUAAGGGAUAUGUCAAUAGGUAAUUAAUGAUUAUUCUAAUUGUCGUUAAUCAUGAAUUUAUAUACAAAAUCAAAUAAUCUUGUGCAUGCAUCUUUUUGUAAGAGAACCAGCACAUUUAAAAUAGAAUAAAAUUCUCAAAUUGAUCUUUAAAAUUACAAAAGAUACAAUUUUGAGUUAAUGUAAAAUUCAUUCAAAAAAUCAAAGAACAUCUUUUUACAACAUUUUUUGGUGCUCUGUCAAGAGACUGAAAUUAAAAUAAAAAAGAGCUUAUUUGAAAGCUUAAUACUCCUUACAUCUAUAGCUCUUCUACAUUUUAUAAAAAAAAUUGAGAUCUCACAAUAUGUGCUGAUCCAAAAUAUUUCAUCCUCAAAUCGACGUAUCACGAUAUGAUUGCAUAAUAUACAUUCUGUAACAAGCUUAUUCAUGAUAUCAAAGCUCUCAUCCUAAACUUAAUACAUGCAUGUACAAGAGUCGAGAUAAGUAAGUCAUGGUGAUAUAAAAGCUCUUUUUAUAGAAUGGAGAUUUGUUGAAAAAAAAACAUAUGAUAUAAAAAAGUACAAUUUGGUUUGUACUUUUCCUAAGGUUUUGACGAUUUAUAAUGUGUUUCUCUGACUAAGGAUUCUUUGGUUUUAGUUUAAGAACUCGCGCAGGUAUUGUUUUUUGCAUUUUUAUAAAUUGAUAUUUAUUUUUCAUGUUUAGUGUUAUAUAUUUUAGAUGUAUCACUAUAUAACUAAUUGUAUUAAAAAAAUCUGAACUAAAUCGAAUAAUAUAGUUAUUUUUGGUAUAAAUAUUCCGAAUCCGUUUCAGAAGCGAAUCAUAUAAAUUCAGAAGGACCCAACUCAAAACCAACACAUAAAUUUAUAAUAUCCAAACGGGACCUAAUUUCAAAAACCAAAAAAAAUCUGAUGCCUGAAAGAAGCAAUCCGUAUCUGAAUAGGUAUCCGAAUUGUCCAUGCCUAACUGAUUCUAUAAACAAAUAAAAAAACUAUUUUAUUAUGUUUACCUAAAUUAAGUGAAAUAGAAAGAAUUUUCUAUUUAGUAAAAUAAUUAUACGAUGUGAAAAAUUAAGUGACAAUAUAUAUAAUACGUUUUAAUUAUUUUGAUUUAAAUUAUUAUUUUGUUCGCGUAAACUAUGUCUUUAAUCUAAAAAUAAAAACCUAAAUUCUCUGGCGGCGAUUUUUCCUCUCCCCCUCUAGAGUACCAUUUUCAACUUUCUCCUCAGAUCUGAGGUUUUCUCCGGUCCGGCACUCCUUGCCGGUGCUGUGAGAGGGUCUCCUCUUAUCCUUUUCAAGUUUAAUUUGUUCUUAGGUGUUUGGUCUUCAACGAUGCUGGAUUAAGGAGAUAUAGUUUCUGUUUGUUAUGGUUGCGGUAUAACCUUCCGACAAAGGUUUCUACUUUGUAUCGGGUGCUGUUGGGUUUUGUUGUUAGUCUGUGCUACAAGUUUCCCUUCAUCUGUUUUGGAGGUGGUUAUUUCGAUUGGUGUGAGGCUCUGGCGUCUUGUGUGUUGGUCUGAUCUCGUGCGGGAUGUAUGGCCUCUCAUUUCCUCCCCUGAAGAUGAUGGAUCCAGUUCCGGUUGUACUGAAAGGAUCAUGUUGGUGGGGCUUCUGUUGUUAUGUUCAUGAUGUGUAGUCAUAUCAAAGACUUGUGGAGAGCUCAUUCUCAUCGGUGGUUCGGCCACUGGAGAAGUGGUGCUUCUUUUGGUAUUGUCAGGUUGUGAAGUCGCACGUGAAGAGCCCAUUCACAGUCCAAUAGCAUAUCUUUUUUGGAUAUGGAGAUGGCUCUACAUCGACGGUUUUUAUUGCAAUCAGGACGGUUUGGUUUUCUCUUGAUCUGAUUGUGUUUUCAGUCUCUAGUGUUCUCGUUAUUUUAUUUUGUCAACUCAUAUACUUUAGAGUUUGAGUUGUCAUGAUUGGUUUGUCCUUGAGUCUGUAGCUCUUGCAUGCGAAAAGCAACCCAUUCUUGGGUUAUAGCAGUGUUGCGUUGAUAGAGAGAUUCUCGGUUCUCGUAGCUUCAGUAGAUUGGAAGCUUUUUAACGAGACUUGCAGAGUUCCCUAACCAUUGGUUGAUUGGAAAGAGUGAAAAUGGUAAUCUAACACUCUGGUGGUUUUCAAUUCAGCUGGUUUUCACCUUGACUAAGAUCUCUGAACUAUGGAAGUUUGAGGUUUAUUAGUUUCUCCAAUUUGAAUGGUGCCUAUUGGUAUCGAUCUAUUUUUAUUACUAACAGUUUUUCCUUCUUUGUACUUUUUCGUACUGGUGCGUUUCUGCAGGUCUUGUUUAUGUAAGACCAGUUUGGUCAAAAACUCUAUAAUGGAAUGAAUGAUUACGCGUUAAAAAAAACUAUGUCUUUAAAUUAUGUGUUUGGCUACGUAGUUUUUACUGAUUGAAACUAGGAUAAAAAAAACAUGCUAAACUAAAAUUUUAACCAUAUGCAAAAUCCGUUUAUUUUACAUUUUGAUUUUUAUAAUUGGUACAAAGUUAAUAUUGAUUAACUAAUAAAUAAAAAUCUGUAAUAUUAUUAUUAUUGUAAUAUAAUUAAUGAUGUAAUGUAUUGUUAAGGUAAUAUAAUUAAUGAAGUUGUUAAAUUGAGUGAAAAUAAAAUGAUAAUUAAUGUAAUAAUUUGUUGGAAAAAAGAUUAGUUCUAUUUGUACUUCAGUUUUAAUACUCCCUCUGUUUCAUAUUGAGCGUCGUUUUGGAUUUGUGCACACAGAGCAAGGAAACCAUUAAUUUUGUAUAUUUUCUAUAUAAAAACACAAUUACCUAUACACCAAACCAUAUUUCAACCAAUAACAAACAUAAAUUGUUAAUUAAAAUUAAUAAAUUUUGCAUUAAAAGUCGAAAUGACACUUAUUUUGUAAUGAAAAAAAAUUCUCUACAACGACACUUGAUAUGAAACGGAAGAAGUUAUAUAGAUAUAAUUUGGAGAUUGUAUACAAAGAAAGCGUGAAGAUUUAUAAUUUUCAUAUAUUAUUGGUUUUAGUUCUAAAUGAUAGAUAAACUUUUUGUCCAGUUCGUGAAGAAGAAUCAAAACUCAUUAUGCCUGCUUGAUUUUGCCAAGCUAUGUAAGACGUACUCGUCUUUUAGGAUCAAACUCUUAAUGCCUGGGUGUUUAGUAUCAGAAAAGUAGACUUUGCAACCUAAACCAACAUCAAUAUUUUAUCCAACUCUCCUAAGAUUCCUUGGUUGCCACUUUGAUAUUUGUCACCCUCGAUUGACAAAACUGUUAGUACUGUGAUUUGGCUGUAAUUUUCAAAAUGGUAAAUAUGGGAUGACUUCACAAUUUUUUACUUAUUUAUUUAAAUGUCAAUAUCGAGUUUUACAUGUAAACUGAAUUUAUUGUGAGAAAGUUCCACCUCACGGGUUCAUUACAGAAUCUAAAACAGCUUUGCUUUUUCUUUUCGUUGAUUUCACAUGAAAUUGUGUGGACACAUUGCGAGCAUCUGAGACGGAAUGGAUACAUAAUAAAAUUCUGUAACAGAACAAUUUGGCCCAUAACAAGAAUUUUUUACAUAUAGAUAUUUUACCUCAUUCUAAUUAUAGUACAACACAUUUAUCAUUUGAGACAUAUUUUUUUUUGUCAAAAAGAUUCAUAUGAUCAUAAACUAAAGAAAAUCUUUUUCUUCUUCUUAUUUCAUUUUAUUAUUAUUUUUAUUUUACUUUAUGUUUUCAUUCAUUUUUAUCUCAAAUUCUAAAAUAUAUUACACAAAAAUAAUUGUCAUAAUAAACUACAAAUAAAAUUAUUUAUUUUUAAGAUCUAUUUUCAUAUAUAUAUAUUUUAUAUAUAUUAAUGUUUAAACAAAAUUAAAUGUGGAAAUGGAUACCAUAACGUGGAUAAUAGAAUUAAUUAUAAAUUAGUUGUGGACAUGGACAUCUUAACAGAAUUAUAAAUUAGUUAUAAACUAGUUGUGAACAUGAGCAGUAUUCAUUCGAUUCCAUUCAUCAUCUUGGGAUCUAAAUUCAACUCUAAUCAAAUUUGCAUCCAUCCACAUCAUAACGAAGCGCAUAUCCCUUAGAUUAAAAAUCUCUGACAUGCAAAAUCUAUUAUUCUCCGACAGAAGGUAAACACUUCUUCAAUUUUUUUCUCUCCGCUCAUACUCACAUUAUCAUCUCUUCUCAUCUUGAUUGAAGUUUAAUUACAGAUAAUUUAUCAAUUGGGCUGAAGAAGCAAAUUGCUUGUGUUGGAGAUGACGAACCUACUGCUUCAUCUCUAGUUGGUGGUGGUACUAAAUCUAAGGAAAACUUCAAUAUUAUCUUUUGUAAUGUAUCUCAGGAGGUCCAUAUGAGAGAGAAAAAUAAGAAAAUUGUUUUAUUUUACAGCAAAGUUCUUAUUGUUUGUUUUUUCUCAAAGUUUAAGAUAUUUGAAGAAAAUAUAAUCAUCACAGUAAAUUGUAAUUUGUUUUUCUCUAUAUUUUAACAUCCAUAUUCAUAUAUAUAUAUAUUUUAUAUAUAUUAACAAUUAUAUAAAAAAAUGUAUGGACAUAAAAACUAUGGACGGAAAAUUGUGGACAAGUAAGAAAAAUACAUGAAAAAAAAGAUGUGGACAUGGAUAGAUACAAAAAUAUAAAAAAUCUUUUAAGAAGUUUCAUGGAUGUGUUUUCGUUGAUAACAUUCUUAUAUUCUCAAUCAUCUAUAAAAAUGUGGAUAUGGACACUUAGAUAAUAGAGUUAUAAACUAUAUGUGGAUAUAGACAUCAAAGCUGGACACAUACACUAAAACGUUCAUAUCCAUACUUUCCCCAAGUUUGGUCUAUAGUAAUUACAUAUGUUGACAUAGAUAUGAAAUACAAGACCAAGUGAAAGUAGAUAAACCACGUUUUGGAGUCUGGAUAGGAGGUGUUGAGCUGCAUCAUCCAUAGACUCUUAAUGGGUGGAAACAAGAUUGAUGUUUAGGACGUUGUUGUUGUGAACUACGUCAUAGACUCUUGAUGUGGUCAUGUAGUUAAAAUAUCUUGCUGCAUUAUCCAUGAAUUCUUGCUGUGGUCAUGUCAAGUAUAUCUUGCUGCAUUAUCCAUGAAUUCUUGCUGUGGUCAUGUCAAGUUUUAUCCAAAAAUCCAUCUAGUCAUAUAAUCAAAUUAUCGAUUCAGAGCACUAGUUGUGGAAGACCAUAACAAAGAUAAAUAAAGAAUUGUUUUAAUUAAAAUCAGAGACUUUUACUUCUCAGAUCUCUGAUACAAAGAAGAAGUGUUCAACAUUUAAAUCUCAGAAAGAUUCUGAUAAAGAAAGGAAGUGAAAUUAGAAUAUGUAAAUGUCAAAAUUGAGCUCUUUGUUGAAAAAGAAAUGAAGCUAACCUUCACACCACGAGAGCUUGUCGUCUUCUUUUCCACAAUAGAGGCAUGACCUGUUCGUCGCCGCGUUUCUCCGCACCGGAGCUCAGAUCUGCUGGCCGUCAUGUCAUCCUCUCCACAACGGAGCUUGGACAUGCUCGCCGUCACGUUGCCCUCUCCACACUGGAGCUCUCAGAUCUGCUCAUUAUCUCUCCCAUCCACAAAAUCUCAGAAAUUUCGAUCCAAUUGGAAAAUUACAACACAAACAAGAAAAACAUAAAAAGUUAGGGAUUUCGAAAACUCUUUAAAGUCAAAAAGAGUUAAAGAAUUCAAAAUAUAAACCUCUGUUGUCGAUCUGCGGUGAAGAAGGUUGACUAUUGAGGUUCCCUUUCUUCUUCGACUUCGAUUUCACCAUGGUUUCUCGAAGCUGGACGAGGUUCGGGGAUAGAUGAUGAAAGGGGAUCGUUGCAAUUAGGUUUUGAGAAACUAUGAAAGUGAUUUCAAUUUUUUGUCUCAAAAAUAUGAGAGAUAAUGGAUUAAUUGUAUUUUGAAUUUUAUUAUAUUUCUUUAAUUGAGAUGUGUGUCCAAUUGGAUAUAUUGUUGUUUUAUUUUAAAAAAAAAGUUAGCUACGAAAGAAAGAAUGUUAAGAAGAAACAAUAUUGGGAGUAUAAGAGACAAUCACCACAGAGAAAGUGUGCCUCCAGCAACAUGUGUUUGAUUGUGUAAAUUGAAAGUGAAAAUGUGUCUUAAAACAUAAAAAUUUCUAUAAUCAACUCCCAUGACAAUAGACCCAUGAGCCAUGUAGUUUUGGAUCAAAGAAAAGGGUCAUUCAAGUUAAAAAAAAAAACGAACUUUUCUAAAAAGAAUCUGCCGGUUGAAACGCCAUGUUGCCGACGAAUAGUAUUUUACCGACACAUGCUGUUAGCUUUUCUUCAUAAUCGUUACUAUUAACGUUUAUAUUACUGAUGUCACAUUCAUGUUUCGCUCUUUUGAAUUUUCCUGUUGCAGUAGUUGUAUUAACCAAUGAAAAUAUCAAACUUUUUCUUAUAAAAGAAUAUGCUAUAUAAAAUAACAAGGACGACUAUCUUGUUGUACGUACUGUAUAACAUAACUAUACAACUUUUCCAACUACUACGUACAUGAUAAAAUAUAUAGCUCAAGAAACGUUAGAUUCUUUCAUCCAAUGAACCGAAAAUAUACAUUUAGUUGUUACCUACACACGUUAUACAUGAAGUAACAAGUGCAUUAUCUAUUCAAAUCUAAAAUUUCAAGAGCUAUUUUGUUGCAGCUGAAUUUCAAGAUAUAACGUUAGAGUUAAUCUAUACAUUGAAUUCAUCAAUACCAACCUUUAUUUUUUUAAACUAGCAGAUUUUCAUAGAAAAAGACUCUUAAAAACUGGAAUAUAACACUUGGGAAAUGGUUUAUAUUUGAUCAAAGAAAAAAAAACACUUGGGAAUAAGGAAAAACAUACAAAUACAAUGGAUCCGUUUCACCUUUUCCGAGUUUUUCGAAGAGACAAGUUGACAAAAAAUAAAAACAAAAUCAAUUUUAAUUUUCUCUAAGAUUUAAAAUAAAGAAAAAGAUCAAAAUAGCACUAAAUCAAGUUUUUGUUCCCAAACUAGCACUCAAGGCCAAAAGUCACAAAAAUAGCACUCAAAGGAUGGGGUUUAGGGUUUAUAAUUUAGGGUUUAGGGUUUAGAGUUUAAGUUUUAGGGUUUAGAGUUGAGAAGUGAGGUUUUGGGGAUAAGAUUUCAAAUUUUGAAAAAUAAAAAAAUUUAAAUUUUUCAAAAGAUAAAAUGCUAUUUUGGUCAUUUUAAUUUUUGAGUGCUAUUUUUGUGAUAUAAACUUAGAAAUGUGUUAUUUUGGAGAUUUGCCAUUUAAAAUACAGUAUUCAAUAUUUAUUUGGUGAAAAAGGUUAAAAAGCAAUAAAUAAAGCAACGGAUGUGAUCGCAUAAGCUCGGUGAAUUAAGAUCCAAUCAACGGCCCCACAUUCAUCACACACACACUCUCUCUCCAAACAACAACAGAAAUAGAAGUAGCCACCGGCGAGAGCGACGGGGGAACAACAGAACGGUGACUUACGACAACUUAAAGCUUAACCCAUUAAUACAACAAAAGGUCUUUCUCUUUCCUUUCUAAUCUCUGUCUGCAUGUUCUUCUCUGAUUAAACUCUAAAAAUCUGGAAUUUGUUUUUUCAUUCACCUAAAGUUUCAGUCUUUAUUAUAUCUUUUUACUCACUGAUAGUGUUUGUUGUUCAGCUCAAAAAUCACUGAAUAAAAUAAAAUAAAAAUGGUGGGGGAGAUGACAAACGGUGGAAGAAUCCGGCAAUCGUUUCCCGGAGCUAGAGAUCUGACGAGCACUGAAGGAUCUGAGUAUGGUCCCGUUGAGUUCACCAGAGAAGACGUUGACGCUCCAAGUACAAGAGCAAGUACAACUAUAAGGUCUCUCUCUCUUUUUUAGAUCUCUCAGUUUCAUGCAAUUUUACUAAAACAAGUCUAUCUAUCAAUUAUCAAAAGGGUUUGUAGUUCAGUCUUAGUUGCUUAAUCUAUAAGUGUUAUGCUUGGUUUUGCAGGAGAGAUGCGAGAAUACUAUGGACUAUGUGAAAAGGCUUAGGCUUUGCAUUCGAUGGUUUCAAGAACUCGAGUUAGACUAUGCGUUUGAGCAAGAGAAGUUGAAGAACGCUAUGGAGUUGAACGAGAAGCAUUGUGCAGACUUGGGUGUGUUGCAGAGCUGGUUCUUAUUAUGGACAUUUGGGAUUUAACAAAAAAAAAAGAAAACUUAACGUGUAUGCAUUUGCUUGCAGAGGUUAGUUUGAAAGAGAAGGAAGUGGAGCUGAACUUGGUUAUCCAUGAGCUGAGGAAGAAUUUUUCUUCUGUUCAGGUGCAACUUGCCAAAGAACAAGCUGAGAAAUUGGUAAGAAAUGUCUAGAUUCUGGUUAAAAGUUCGUCUUUUGUGGUUUUCUAAGUUGGUUUUAUUCUGGUUAAGGCUGCAACUGGUUCGCUUGAAAAAGAGAAAGAAGCAAGACUUGCUGUUGAAAAGUUGCAAGCUGCUCUCACAGAAGAGCUGGGGAAAACGCAAGGAGACCUUCAAACAGCUAACCAAAGGGUGAGGAAUCUCUGAAAGUUUCGAAUUGAGAAAUGGUUUGUUAUAGCUGACACUGAAUGUUUUUCCCUUCUGUGUUUCAGAUUCAAGCUGUGAAUGACAUGUACAAACUCUUGCAAGAGUAUAACUCAAGCUUGCAACUCUACAAUAGCAAGAUCCAAGGUGAUCUUGAUGAAGCCCAUGAAACUAUAAAGCGAGGAGAGAAAGAACGGACUGGCAUUGUAGAAAAUAUUGGCAACUUAAAGGGUCAAUUCAAAGCACUGCAAGAUCAGCUUGCUGCCUCCAAGGUGUCUCAAGAAGAUAUCAUGAAGCAAAAAGAUGAACUGGUGAAUGAAAUUGUAAGUCUCAAGGUGGAGAUUCAGCAGGUCAAGGAUGACCGUGACCGCCAUAUUACAGAAGUUAAAAAUCUGCAAGCUGAAGCAACCAAGCAAAAUGACUUCAAAGGAACCAUAAACGAGCUUGAGGUUUGUUUUCAUCCUUGAAUGCACUUCUGUAUGCUCUAAAAAUAAUCUAAAUGACUAAUGUAAUCUUGUUUCUCCAGAGUAAGUGUUCUUCUCAAAAUAAGGAGCUACAAGAGUUGCAGGAUCAGUUAGCAGCUUCUGAGAGGAAACUGCAGGUCUCAUCACAUUCUUGAGUUCAACACAUUUAAAUGAAUAUUUAUAUGAAAAUGUUUUCAAUUCUUAUUUUAUAUUUGUUCAUUUUGGUUAGGUGGCGGAUUUGUCUACCUUUGAGAAAAUGAACGAGUUUGAAGAGCAAAAGGAAAGCAUUCUCGAGCUGAAAGCUCGCUUAGAAAAAGCUGAACUUAAACUCAUCGAAGGAGAAAAGCUACGGAAGAAGUUGCACAAUACCAUACAGGUUAAAAUGUUUGUACAUUUCCCUUGUGUGUGAAAUGUUGAGUUAACUUGGCUGAUUCUGAAACAUUUUAAAUGUUGCAGGAGCUGAAGGGAAACAUACGCGUAUUCUGUAGGGUUAGACCUCUAUUAUCGGGUGAGAAUUCUAGUGAGGAGGCCAAAACCAUUUCCUACCCUACAUCUCUGGAAGCACUUGGUCGUGGCAUUGACUUGAUGCAAAAUGGUAUGAUAAAAUUUGGAUUCUUGAAAUAACAAAAGAAGAAAGAGACUCAUUUGAUGUUCUGCUAUGGACAGGGCAAAAGCAUUGCUUCACAUUUGAUAAGGUUUUUGUACCGAAUGCAUCACAAGAAGAUAUCUUUGUAGAGAUUUCUCAGCUUGUUCAGAGUGCUCUUGAUGGUUACAAGGUACUUAUACAUUCUCUAUCUGCUCAUUUUCAUACAUUGUCUAACCAGUUAAUCAAGCUACAGAAUAAUAAUAAUAAUUAUAAUGCUAUGUUUCACUGUAUAUUCUUGGACUGAGGCUGAUAUUAAAACAUUUUCAGGUUUGCAUUUUCGCAUAUGGACAAACGGGAUCUGGAAAAACAUAUACAAUGAUGGGCAGGCCAGGGAACCCUGAGGAAAAAGGACUGAUUCCUCGAUGUUUGGAGCAAAUAUUUCAAACGAGGCAGUCUCUUCGAUCACAGGGUUGGAAGUAUGAGUUGCAGGUAACAAAUCUCCUAGGGACUUAGAGAUAGAUAGUGUACAUAUUGAUUCUGUUAUGUGUUUAUAUGAUAGGUGUCUAUGUUGGAAAUAUACAACGAAACAAUUAGAGAUCUCUUGUCAACAAACAAGGAAGCUGUGAGAGCAGACAAUGGCGUUUCUCCUCACUAGAGACUUAGAGAUAGAUAGUGUACAUAUUGAUUCUGUUAUGUGUUUAUAUGAUAGGUGUCUAUGUUGGAAAUAUACAACGAAACAAUUAGAGAUCUCUUGUCAACAAACAAGGAAGCUGUGAGAGCAGACAAUGGCGUUUCUCCUCAGAAGUAUGCAAUCAAACAUGAUGCUAGUGGGAACACACAUGUUGUGGAGCUUACUGUUGUUGAUGUUAGAAGCAGCAGAGAGGUUUCUUUCCUCUUGGAUCAUGCAGCUCGGAACAGGCAAGUAUCUGUUUUGAAGAAUUGUUCAUCUUUGAGAGAAGCUGCUAAUGAUGCAAACUGUUUCUUUACAAUUUUGUACAGGUCUGUAGGGAAAACUGCGAUGAAUGAGCAAUCAUCUAGAAGCCAUUUCGUCUUCACAUUAAGAAUCACUGGUUUUAACGAGGUACUAAUUGAGUUUCUUACUGGAACAAUAUGAUUUAAAAGUAUUGUUUUUGGUUUCACCUAAACCAAAGCUGUUUGUUUUUCUUACAGAGCACAGAACAACAAGUACAAGGUGUCUUGAACUUGAUUGAUCUUGCCGGUAGUGAGCGUUUAUCUAAGAGCGGAUCAACCGGUGAUAGACUUAAAGAAACUCAAGUAAUGUCUCAAGAAAAUAACUAAAACAAUACAUUCUUUAGAGACACCUCAUGAAUAAUGAUUUCUUUUCAAUCUAACGCAGGCAAUCAACAAGAGUUUAUCCUCUCUAGGUGAUGUCAUAUUCGCCUUAGCCAAGAAAGAAGAUCACGUACCCUUCAGAAACUCGAAGCUCACUUAUCUUCUUCAGGUAAAGAAACAAAAUUAUAUGAUCAUUUCACCAUCUUAUCAUAUGUUCGAACAGAAAUGAUAUUUUGUCGAAUUCUGUUAUCAGCCAUGCUUAGGUGGAGACUCGAAGACGCUAAUGUUUGUUAACAUCACACCGGAACCUUCCUCAACUGGUGAGUCUCUGUGCUCCCUUAGAUUCGCAGCAAGAGUGAAUGCAUGUGAGAUUGGAACUGCACACCGUCAAGUUAACAACAGGCCGUUGGAUAAUCGUUUGAGUCUUGGAUGAGAUUUUCUACUCCGAAUCCAGAAAACAAGAGAGAAAAAGUUAUGUUGAUACCUAAACGUGGUCAUUACUUGACUUGAUGUUGGUGCUUAAUCUGUAUAUAACGUGUAUUAACCUUAAGUGUUGUCUGUUUUGUCUAUGUGUGGACAAAAACAUAUUAAUGUUCUAAAAUCUUGAAUAGACAAGCAUUAGAUAAACAAUAUUACAUUAAUCAUACUAUAUUUGUUUUUGUUUUUGUUUUGUUUUUAAUCAAAAAUCAUACUAUAUUUGUUAAGUGAUUUUUUUCUAUUCAUAUGCUAAGUACUCUUUAGUACUGUUUAUUUUUUUAUUUUUUUAUCAACAACAUUACAGACUCAUAUUGACUCUGUAAACUACACCGGUAGAUAUUGAUCCAUGUGAACGACGAAAGACGUUUGUUUCCUGACAUUACGUGCUAGAUUAUCCGCCUAUUCGUUAGUACUGUUUAAAAACAUAGAUAAUAUAACAAAUGAAAAUUGUUUGGUAACAUAUCAGAUUAAAUAUUUUUUUUAUUUACACAUUUAGUUAUUCUAUUUAUAAUAAAAUAAUUAUUUUUUGUAUUUUUUAUUUACAGAUUCUGCCACUGCAUUAAAUAUCAAUUUAAAUACAUAAUACUAAAAUAGAAGUUACAACUUCUUUUGAUGUGAUAUUUUUUAAAAAAUAGACUAUCCCUAGAAAAUCUCUUAAAUGUAUUUUUAUAUAUAUACUACUAUAACCAUAUCUUUUUAAUGUUCUCAGAUAUAUUUUCCUCAUUUUAAUGAUAUUUAGAUCUUUUCUUAUUUGGUACAGUUUAAUCAUUUUAUAUUUAUUUUACUAUUUAAUCAUCUUAAAAAUAUUAAAAAAUAUUUACCUACAAUAUGUCGGUUUCUCUCACAAAUCAUUUCCUUAUAGUCACAUAAAGUAAUCUAUAUUAUUAAUCAUAUUAAAAGAAAAUUACUAUAUUUAACUAAGUAUGAUAAGUUAUAUAAAAUGAUAAGUUAAUAUAUAUUAUAUUUAUAAAACUAAAACCUUUAUUAUACAAAAUUAUGACAUGUUAGUAGAAGGAGUUAAUAUUAGUAAACUAUAUAAUACAUCCAAAAAAAUAAACAUAUCUCAAAAUUUUAUAUACAUAAUAUUAAUAUAUUAUUUAAAAUGAAUAAAUAUAAAACUUUCUAAAAGAUAAUACAUCACUUUGAAGCGCGGAUAAGAAAUUAGCAUAUGCUAACUACAAAACAUUAUUCAAAUAUGUUAUUUCAGACAUAUAUUAAUUUUUUUAGCAAUAAAAUAUAAAUAUAUAUAAUAAAUGUGACAAAUUAAUGUGAUGGUUUGUAACAAUUAGUUAAAUUACAAUUUGUAAAAUAUAAAAUUAUAGUAUUUGAAAUAGUUAUAUAAUUAUUUUAAUAUAUGAUUAACAUUAAAAAUAUAUACCAAUAUUAAUGAUAUAAAAUAAAUAUAUAUGUAUUAAACUAAAAAUAAAUACCCGCGCAACUGCGCGGAUUGAAGUCUAGUUAAUUAAUUACAAUGGUUAUUGUUUUUUCUGUGGUGAAAAUAAAAACACAAACUAAAAUAUGUACUAUAUAUUAUAUAAAACAGUUUUUAAAUAUAGUAUUACCUUAUUUAGUUUAGUCAAAAAUAUAAAAAUUUCUAGCGUUCAAUUUUUGAGAAAAUAAAAUAUCAUAAAAUUAAUAAUAAUUCAUAGAAAACUAAUGCAAAAAAUUAAAAAAAUUAUCAUGUUGUUUCAUUUUAAAAUAAAAUAACAAAAAACAGGUUAAUGUACGAAUAGUACAAUUACAUCAAAUUGUAUCAAGUUACAAUUUUUAAUAUAAUAUUAUGUACAAAUAAAAAAAUUAUCAUCAAAAAUCUAUAUUGUAAAAUAAUAUAUUUUACUCUAUUUGUAAACAUAAAAAAUAUGCAUGAGAUUUGUUUUUAAAACUAGCAGUUUAUGAGUUUACGUUGAACACAAGUUAAAUCAAACAUCCGCGCGGGUGCGCGUAUCAAGUUCUAGUUUAAUUUAAACUGUAUAUAUUUAUAUUACCGCUCAACGUUAUUUUUUUACUAAAGAUGCUUUAAAACAUAGGAAAUCCCUCAUAUAUUAAAAGAGAAGCAUGUCAUUUAAUGCUUUCACACUAAGAAAGCAAUAAAUAAUUAUGAUUGAUUAUAAAUUAAGAAAAUUGGGGUAAAAUGUACCACACACAAAGUCGGAUCUUUAGUUAUGUCAAAUAUUGUUUUUCUUUACAGAGUUUUCAUAUCAUACCAAAAAUACGAAACAUAAUCAGAUUGCAAGAAAAAAUCAGACAUCAGAAAAAUUAAAAAAAAAAAGAAAAAAAUUCGUGAAAUCGAUUGAAAAUUAGAAUUCAUGUGCUGAGUGAAGAGAUCACAUUAUUUUCCAAGAAACUCUAAUACUUUUCACUCGAUUGUAUCGUGUUUUUAUUAUAUUUACCAAGAAUUGUUUAUAAGAAAACACAUGUUAUUGGUUUUAGGAUAUAUCAAUUUUGCAACAUACUCAAUAUUGACAUGAUUCUCAACUAUUUUUAUUGGUAUUUUUAAAUUAUAGUCCAAUAAUUAUGUAUGUUAAAUAAACCGAGAAUAUUUGUUUUACAUUUAUUUUAUUUUGCUUUAUAUUUGUAGAAAAAUAAUAAGUCUGAGUAAAACAUCUAGGUCCAAAGAACCAAACUGAACUAGAUUUGAAAGCAAUACUAAACACAAACUAAAACUGAUUAAGUACUCACAUGGAUCUAAAAGUUUAAUAUCCACAUAAUCAGAUCCGAAACUGAUCCAAAUUAAAAGUUUGGAUACCAAAAAUAUCUAAAUAACAAUUAUAUAUUUAAAUAUUUUUACUAUUUUAAAUUUUAUACCUAUUAGAUUUUCAAAAAUAUGAAAAUAUCUAAAUAUUAUCCAUAUAAUCACAAGUAAAUAUGUAAAAUAGCAUAAAAUGUUCAAAAUACUGAAAAUAUUUAUUUGUUCUCCAUCCAAAUAUUUAAAUUGAACUAGUUUUUAUGUAAAUUUAAAUAUUUAGUCUUACAUUUUUCAAAAGUUUAUGUUUUACUUUAUUUUAAUAUUAAGUAUAUUUGGAUUUUUGUUAAAAUAUACAUAAUUAGAAUUAGUAUCCAAACUUAAAUCCGAACCGCACUCGCAAUGAUUCGAACCAAAUCCAAGCUAAAAUUUGAAAUUUGUAUAUAUCCGAUUUGAUUUAAAUUUCUAAUCCUAAAAUUUCAAAAUCUGAAUAUUUUAACUGAAUCCUAACGGAUAUAUGAAUGUUCAUCCCCAGAAAAAACUAUACAACAAAUUCCUUAGCGCACCAUAUAAUAAAUUAUCUAAUAAAAUAUUUAACAUCCAUAUGCGCGGAUUACUACGUAGUCGUUGUUAGUAUCGUUGGUCUUGAAGGCUUAAUUAAUUAGACAUUUAGUCUAUCACAUGUUCAUUAGACAACUGCUUCAUUUUGGAUAAGAUUAAUUUGUUUUUCUUUGGGUCGUAUCUGUCGUUAAUUAUCACUUUUUAGGAAGUAGCAAGAGUGAAAAAACUUCUCUUUUAUUACCGUCUACGGAGUAGUUCUUAUUACAUUAGCCUCAAACUUUUUAACGUACAUUAUUUAUGGAACACACACCAUGAUUAUGUAGUGUUAACAUACAUCAACAAACACAUUCAUCACCGUGGUAUAUACACUCUCGAGGGUUUCGUUUGGAACCUAGUAGUAGGGCCCAGGCGUGGUCUUCUGGAAGGGACAAAUGCUAACUUGCGGGAUGUUGCAAACUCUAGGUAAGUGCGUAGCGGUCUCGUAGAUACGGCUCACUACUUGCUGCAUUUGCUGUCCCUGCUGUCCCUGCAUUUGUCCCUGUUGUCGAACCUGCUGUUUAACGGCUUUGGAUGCUCCUUUCAAGGUUGGGCAAACGCAAAGUGGCUCUUCCUGGUGGAGCUCGUUGCAGCACUGCUGGAGUAGUGGCGGCCUCUGUUGUGGGCCCUGGGGGUUCUCCAUGUCAUCUUCAAAAUCAAACUCACCAUCGAGGGUCCAGCUUGGACCACUACCGGACUGCAUUGCCUGCUUGUGGAGCCAUUGUUGGCAAGCUUUCAGGUGUUGUGCUUGCUGAAACUCCUUCCUACAUUUUGGAAUCCUAAAUGGGCCGGCUGGGUUUGUGGCAUCUUCAUCGACUUCCACAACCGUCCUGUAGACGGAGGCAUUGGUGAGAAGGAAGAAAAAGGCGAGAGUUGCCGAGACGAGGAAGAGCUUGUUCGCCAUUUGUGUAUGUUUUUAACUUUGUUUGUUAUGAUGAGUUUUGGUUUGAGUAAAGAGUGAAGCUGUUAAGUUAAUUUAUAGGUGAGAAUGGAGAUUUGCAUGGCGAUCACGUGUAAUAAUGCAUGCAUUUGUGUGUGCUGUGAGAGAGAAGCUCUUAGGUGUUUGAAGUGAGUGACAAAUGACGAACAAAAACAGUCGUCCGCAUCUGCAUGCUAUGUGUGAUGUGUAGCUCAUGUCCUGGCGUAACAUCUUAUGAACGAUAUUUUUCAAAAAGAAGCUAACUUCAUAAAAUAAAAAACCUUCAGUAAGUGGGAUGACAGUCUAUAUACUUUGGAGGUAGUGCGGGGGCGGUUGAAAAUAUAUAUUGGGAGCUUAAUGAGAAUUCAGUAAUAGUAUAGAAGAUCUAUUGUAUGGUGAAAAUUAAAUGUGUCUCGUAGACUCGUACAAUAUGUAAUAAAUGCAGUAGAGCCUCUAGUGUAUGGACGAAUGUAUGGGUGCAAAUGCAAAUUAUGCAAUUGUACCCACUAUUUUUUCUAAAAAGAAAUAUUUUUUUUUUGGUAAAAUGUUAAAUUGAAAAGAUAUAUUUUCUAAAACAUUGUUAAAAUCUAACAAAAAUAGGCAAAAUUAACCUAGCAACCAGUAUUUUGUUGGUUUGCCCCCUCUGCUUUCACCAUUUUUUUGUUCUUCUUCUUACAUUUACUUCAAUGAAUGUUCAAAUUUAUUUGAUUUAAAACAUUUACUUCUAUGCUUUCUGCCAUUACGUUCACGCCAAAUAGUGUGUACACCACCAGAGCCGAGCCUGCGGACAGUUUUAUUAAAUUUUAUUUUUUUUGAACAAAGUUCGAUAGUUUUGUUUUGUGAUCGCGUCUUCAACGUUUUAUUAAACUUUUGAAUGAAGCCUUCAUGCUUUAUAGGAGCUCCACUAAAAAAUAAUAUAUAUGUAUAUGUAUUUUUAUUUUUGGUAUAAUAACAUAUAAAUAUUAGCUGUGAAAUAAAUACUGAAUGAAAUUUUGAGUUGACAAAAAUGAUAAAAUAUAUUAUUUAUAAACUUUAUAAAAAUAUUAAUUAUCAGGGCCCCGAAAAUCUCAAAAUCGGCUGGACACCACUGCUUGAAACAUGUAUCACAAAAUGAAGAGAAUGGUUAUGUCCCAACCAUCAUCCACCAAGAGUUGAACAAUAUAUAGUAUUAGGUAUUUAGCAUUAUUAAAGAUAUAGAUGAUCAAUGAUAAAGAAAUUUACUACCUUUGCUAUCAAAGUACUGUUUAUAAGUAAAGGCAACAUCAGUAUAUUUGCAGGAAUUUAGUGGAUACAUGAGAUUGACAGAUGCAUGGUGAUCUAAAAGAGUUUGUUAGUAUUUUUGUUUUUUUAGAAAGGAAGAGUUUCCAAGUACUUUUGCAAAAAAUAUAAAAUAAAAGAGUUUAGAAGUAUUUGACUAUACCAGAUUUCAGUCAUUGAUUGAUCCCAGUGGAUGAUUUUUUAUUAUUGGCCCCGAAUGCUUAUAUUAACACUAGUUGUUUGUCCGCGCGAACGAUGAUAUUUAUUUUAUUGAUGGUGUUAAAUCUUUUAUUAAUAUAGCUUAAAAUAUUAGAUGGUUAACUAAUGUGAUAUCUUUAAAAAAUUUGUUUAUAAGUUUCUUGGUAAAAUGUUUUGGGGUUGAUCAACAUGUUUUUUUCCCUUGUGACCAUCAUGUUUGUUUCGUUUUUUGAUAUACAAUAAUUUUAGAGUAGCUGUUUUUCCAUCCCAUAAUUUCAACCACACAAAUGUGGAUCUGCUUCAUUUUUGUUAUAAAUUUUUUUCUAUUUUAAACUUGUUCAAGUGUAAGGUUAUGUCCACCUCAUUUUUUUUGUCGAUGAAAGGAACAUAUCUGUUCAACUGUGAUGACUUCGGUAGCGUAGGAGGUAUAGUGGAAGUUUUUGUGCACGUUAAUGCCGUGGGUGAAGGUGCUGAGUUCUUUUUGGCUCUGCUGCACACUCUGUUUUAUUGUAUGUGGCUCUGUUCAAAUAUAUGAAAUGAUCCAGUUUGGGGAGGGGGGAAGGUUAUGUCCACCUCCUUCACUCUGGUGUAUUUGAUAAACAGCGACAUAACCACCAAGUUCCCAUAAUGCCAUAACAGCCUCUGUACCCAGUUAAACCUCUAAUCACCUCCAAAGCCAUGGAACUAAUCGAAAUAGGAAGCUUUAACUUAUUUUACAGUAAAGCUUAGAAGAGUCAAACCAUCAAAAUCCAAAAAUAAUUACGAAAUCAGCAGAAGAAAAACUAACAUGCUAAAGUCUUUUGAGUAUCGUUGGCAAAUUUGGGAGGUAAAAUCUACACAAUGCAAGUUUAAGGCCUUUUUGUUUUUCAAUCUUCAUCUGAGAUUCUGAGCCCGACUCUUUGGAACUCGACCCAUCUUGUUUACUAUCUUUGAACCUUUUUUUGGGUCGAAUGAUCCUUUCCUCUUAUCUUCUUCGUCCUCACUAUAUUUGCUUUCAUAAUUCACUUCAUUCUCAUCUUCUUGUGAAGCCUCACCCUCAAAAUCAUUGGUUCUUUUCAAAACCUCGACUUUCAGUGAUGUCUUUCGAUCACAACUGAUCCAAGCAUCUCCUAGGUAGAACUCAUAAGCAAAUCAAAUAAUAAGUAUCUUCUGCACGUUUUAGGCAUUUCUUUAUUACCAAUCUUGAUCGGCUUUUAACCUUCUCUAACUUCAUUGUUCUUUGCCUCGACGCCAUAAUAUUUCCGCAAAACAAUCAUUAUAUCAAGAACCAAUAAAGGUUUAUUGAUCUCCUCAGAUUUGCAGUAGCCACUUACCAUAAAAUUAGAAGAUGUGGCAUCAUGAACAACACCAGAAACUUGAGGAAACCAAAUCUUGUUGACCUGACCUGUCCGGAAAACAAUAAACUGUGAAAGAACAUUUCCUAAAAUUUUAAAGGAAAAGUCUUGCCACCAUUGAAAUACCGCCAACCCAUUAAACUGAUAUAGCAUCUAUAAGAGCACCUGUAACGGGGGUACAUGCAGGGUCCUUAGCGUUUAAUCAUAGGUUAGGAGGAUUAUAAUAAUAGUUGUUUGGUUAAUAGGAGUAAGGAUUGAUACGUUAAUAAGGAUUUUUAGGACUUGAUCCUUAGGGUACGUGGCGUGUUUUGAAUGGAUGGAAGGGUUUACGGUUUGGUUACGCGUAAAACAUUGGUUAUACUCGACCGAAGCAGAAAAAAAAAUAGUCCCGACGAAGAAAGGCGAUUGCUCUCGACGAAGCGAAGGCGAAUCCCGCUACGAAAGACGGCGAUUCCCGCGGCGAAAGACGGCGAUUUGUCUCCGUUGGCUGAACAAGGUAAAUCGCACCCUUCUGAUGUAGAUUAAUCGAUAUAGAUUAGUUUGCAUGUUGAAUCGAUCUCGUUUGAAAUUAGGGUUCGAACAUAAUUUGGGGGUUUGUUGCGUUUGUACUUAACGGUUUGAAAACGAUACUGCUUUCAUCGAUUUCGGGUUCUUCUCGUUUGAAAUUAGGGUUUCAAUUCAGAUUUGGGGCUUUUUGCGUUUGUACUAAUCGGUUUGAAAACGAUUUGCGUUUGUACUAAUCGGUUUGAAAACGAUACUGCUAGCAUCGAUUUGGGGUUCUUCUGGUUUGAAAUUAGGGCUUCAAAAGGAUUUGGGGCUUUUUGAGUUUGUAUUAAUUGGUUCGAAAAAUAUCCUUAGCGUUUCUUUCUUGCACAGUUUUGCUAGCUACAACUCAACUAUCUGUUUGAGUGUAUUGAGUUUAUGUGUUUGUUGUUAAGGAUUACAAGUAGAAGUUCAGUUUUCUGUGAGACAUAAAAAAAAGCUUCCUAAUUUGUUCUCUCGGAUGAGCUGCAAGUUUAUGAUCAUGUGUGUGUGUGUGUUGUUAGGAUUUGUUUAGCUCUGUUCUUAAUUUUUUUUUUCAUUCUCUCUUAUGUUUAGCUCUGUUCUUAAUUUUUUUUUUCUUGCAGGUUAACGAAUAUGGGACAAGAUUAUUCAUACAGCCAGCCUUUCUCAUCAUCAGACUCGAUGGACAUUACCUCCCUUCUUCAAGCAGAAGCUUAGUUGUAUGCGGAUGAAGGUCAGAGUAGCUACAAUAAUCCAGAGCCGGUUCAGUACCCACCUCAACCAGAGGCAGAUGAUGGAAUCCCGAGGCUAUGCUACUGUGGUGGUGAGCCUGUUGUUGCAACAUCCUCCACUCAUAAAGAUCCCGGCAGGAGGUACUUCACAUGCGAGAAUGUGGAUGAUGGAGACUGCCACAUCUGGAAAUGGUGGGAUGUUGCGGUCACAGAGGAGAUGAGCGAGUUGCAGAGACAACUUAGGCUGCUUAAGGAUCAAGGCAAUGCGAGUGAGCAUAAGCUUAUGCUGCUAGAGAAGAGUGUGUUUGAGUUAUCUAACCAGAAAUCAGGAGUUACGCUAAUGAGAGUGAGCAGAAGCUGGUGCUGUCUAUUAGUUUUAAUAGGUUCCGUGUUCUUGUUACUGUGUGGUGAGUAUAUCUCCUUGUGCUUUUCGUAGUUCAUUUUUUAAUAUUCUGCGUGGUGAGUUCGUUGACUAUUUUUUCUCUUUCUUUUCAGGAUUAGCUUCAAACGAGAGUGUCUCAAAGAACCAAUGUCAUUACUAACAAGGUACGCCCACUUGAAUAAAAGCAAUUAGUCAUUUAAUGAAGGUGAAUUGAUUUCUACCGUCGUAACUCCUCGGAUUUGAUCGGUUAUAAAUGUUAGCGUUUAGAAAUAGUGAACUGAAGACUCUAGCUUGCUAGGAUUGUACUAACUAGUCGGAUUUGAUUGGUGAUAAAUGCUAGUUCUUUGCUUCCUAUCUUCCUAACUGCUCAGAUUUUAAUUGCUUUAAUUGAAAAAAAAAAUGUAAAUGGCUUACUUAAGACUCUGUGUUGCUAAUAGAGCGACACAACCAUUCUCUAACCAUGGAUAACACCACUGGUUUUGUUAACCUACUUUAUAGUCAAUCUCCAUUUGAAAUUGAUUCAACACAACCUGCUGCCGAGUCCGGUUCGAAGGAGAGGAGGAAAUGGUCACUGAAAGCGGAUCAAAUCCUCAUUGGGGCUUGGCUUAACACAAGUAAAGAUUAUGUGGUCAGCAAUGAGCAAAAAGCUAGUGCUUUUUGGAAGAGGAUUGUUCAAUACUACAACGCGAGCCCUUAUCUGGCUGGGACUAUACCUAGAGAGCUUGGGCAGUGCAAGCAGAGGUGGGCUAGGAUAAAUGAGCAAGUCUGCAAGUUUGUUGGGAGCUAUGACGCGGCUCUUAGGGCACAGAGAAGUGGUCAAAACGAUGAUGAUGUGAUGAGAGCUGCCCAAGAGUUCUUCUUCAACGAUCACGGAGUCAAGUUCAGCAUGGAACAUGCCUGGAGGGAGCUGAGGCAUGACCAGAAAUGGUGCUCCACCUAUGUGACUAAGGACGGUGGGAGUCAAAAGCGCAAACCAGUCCAGGCGGAGGUUGAUAGACAAGCGGAAGUGGGAGAACCAGAGGAAAGACCAGUCGGGGUCAAGGCAGCUAAAGGUGUUACCAAGAAGAAGAAGAGUGCUAGAGAAGAAGAAUUGUCACAGUUACAGGGCGUGUUGGAAGUUAAAGAAAAACUCGCUAGGCAUAAGUUGCUUGAUCGUUUACUCGGGAAAAAAGAGCCUCUAUCUGAGAUGGAGACAUCUCUUAAGCUCAAACUAAUGUCUGAGAUGCUAUAAACUGAUGUUAACCGUAUGUUAAGUUGUGACUGUUGUUUUGUGUACUUGUUUACUAUUAAACUUCGCUCACUCUUGUCUUUUGUGUUGUUGCAGGGUCAUGUGAACGAAGUCACGGGUGCAUUUGGUGUUGUGAAAGUCUUUUGUUGUUUAGCUCAAGUGAAUCAAGUCACGAGAUUCUAUCUAUGUACUAUAAGUAGUUGUCAUUUGCACGUCUUUAGCUAUGUAUCUCUUUCGCUUUGCUUCCUCUUCAUCAGAACUUGUAUCUUCUUGUUUCAGUACAACAAAUUGCUUCUCUUGUAAUAUUUUCGUUUUAGUACAACAAGUUGCUUCUCUUGCUUGGAUUUCUAUCCAACGAUCUCAAGUUCUGAUUCUAUUUAACUACAACUACAUUAUCUAUAGGUAACACUGGUUCUCCUCUUUUAUAUACCGAGAUUGUGUAGUAUCUAAAUCAUUUGUAGUAUAUUCUUCAGUAACUUGUGUAGUAUAUACUUACUAAACUAGAGAAUUAUAUAAUUCAUUUGAGAAACUUUGAAGUUAAUCUGAUCACUAAACUUGUCAAGUAUAUUUGAGAAAUUUUAGUUCCAAAGUUAAUCUGAUCUCAAGUUUUGUUAAAUCAUUUGUAGUAUAUUUUUUUUGUAACAAAACUUUGGAACUAAAAUAUAGAACUAAAAACGUAUUUUUUUUUUGGAACAAAACUUUGGAAUUAAAAUAUACAACUAAAAACCUAUUUUUAAAGGAAGGAUCCCUAAAAAAUGUCAUCCUCUUCAUCCGAUGAAGUCGAAGAAAGACUGGAUGAAUUAUUCGAUGAAAUCGUCGAAGAUACAUACAACGACAUUAUGGAGGGCCAAACCUAUAAGCAAAGGAAACGUGCUUACAUAGAACGAAACCGUGAAGCCGGACACAACCGUUUAUGGAAUGACUAUUUCAGCGAAGAAGCGACAUUCUCGACACAUUUAUUCAGACGUCGUUUCCGCAUGAGUAAGGAAUUAUUCAUGCGUAUUGUCCAUGCCCUCUCAGAGAACGUUCCUUUCUUUCGACAAAGAAGAGAAGCAACCGGGAGGUUGGGCCUGUCUCCACUACAAAAAUGUAUGGCAGCUGUUCGUCUGCUUGCUUAUGGUUCUGGGGCUGACACGGUAGACGAAUAUCUUCGACUUGGAGAAAGCACGGCACUUUCGUGUCUACACCAUUUCACUGAAGGAAUAAUACUGUUAUUUGGAGAUGAGUAUCUACGAAGACCCACACCAGAGGAUCUUCAACGACUCCUCGAUAUUGGAGAGAAGCGCGGGUUUCCCGGGAUGGUAGGAAGCAUUGACUGUAUGCAUUAGGAGUGGAAGAAUUGCCCAACCGCUUGGAAAGGGCAGUACGCACGUGGAUCAGGAAACCCGACAAUUGUCUUAGAGGCUGUGGCUUCACAAAAUCUUUGGAUAUGGCACACCUUUUUUGGUCCUCCAGGUAUCUUAAACGAUAUUAAUGUCCUCGAUCGGUCUCCUAUUUUUGAUGACAUUUUUCAAGGCCGAGCUCCCAGGUUAGAGUAUGUGGUCAACGGACACAUGUAUAAGUUGACUUACUACCUCACAGACGGUAUAUAUCCCAAAUAGUCAACAUUUAUCCAAUCUAUCUCGCACCCUCAAGGUCCUAAAGCAAAGUUAUUUGCUAGAAUUCAAGAAACAACCCGAAAAGAUGUGAAACGGGCGUUUGGAGUAUUACAAGUUCGAUUUGCGAUUGUCAAAAUCCGGCUCUUUCAAUGGACAAAGAAAAGAUAGGGAAGAUUAUGAGAGCAUGUAUCAUACUACACAAUAUGAUUGUCGAAAAUAAACGAGAUGGAUACAUUCAAUUCGAUAUAUCUGAAUUUCAAGAGGGAGACGUCACUAGAAGUUCACGGUGGAUACCGACAGGCCUACAACUAUUGCUAAUAUGCUCGGCAUUCGGGAUGAUGGAUAAGCGUUUACAUCAACGUUUGAAAAAUGAUUUAAUUGAAAAUAUUUAGAACCAAUUUGUUGAUUGUUGGUUAAUAAAUAUUGUAUCUUUAUCUUUAAUAAUGCAAUAAAUAAAAAUUUUAAUUUCACUUUUAUAAAAAAGUUUAUUAUUUUUAUAUUCCUAAGAACUCCAAAUUGGAGAACAUCAUUGGACUAACAAUUCUGAUUAUGAUCCUUAACUAUUCAAAAAAAAGAAAAUAGUUAAUUAAUCCUAAGGACUCCAUUUGCUGGUACACUAUUGCGGGUGCUCUAAACAAUCCAUCAUCGGCAUUUCCUAGAAAUCAGUUCUGAUCUGAAUCUAUAAGAAAUUACAUUGUAAUAAAGGCUAACUUCCUCUCCAAGUGAUGUUUUACCUUUCAUACGGUUGUGUUGCAGUGGAUAUUAAGUUGGGAAGAAAGUAAGUGUGAGGCCAAAGUGGUUUGUUCCGGCUUGCAAUGUUUGAACUUGUUCACCCUCUUCAAGUCAAUCCUUCCUAAGAUUUGCUGUUAAUUUUGACCCGGCUGUUGCUCCGCGGCGAUAUGGAAACAUCCCUUAUAUAUUAAUUGAGGAACAUUUGAAAAGAUGUAACCUCAAUUUUGUAUUAAUUAAAAGAGGCUCCAAUGCAUAGGUGGCACUCAAUUAGGUAGUCAAUUACAUUCAAUUGAAAAAUAAGUAGGUCCACAUUCGAUUUUUAUAUGUUGUUAGAUACAUAAAUUGGUCAAACUAUAUGAUAUAAUGAUAUGAUAUGAUAUUUUCUUUCCUUAAAUAAAACCUACGGAAUUACCAUAAAUGACUAAUAUAUAUAUGACAAUUAAUGAGUUUAAUAAUAAAGAUUUGAUAACAAUGUAUAUCUCCUCCAUCAUUUUUUGUUUAAUUUUAUAUUAUUAAAAUAAAUUAAACAAUCAAAUUAGCUAUAAAAAUAAAAUUUAGAUUUUUUCGUAUAUGUUAUAUUUUGAAUUUUUAAAAACGACAAUAAAUGACUAAAACUAUUAAAAUUAUUAUGUUAAAAAUUAAUGAUCAAUUGUUUUCUAUUGUGACUGGCACGACAACACUCCAGAUCGAGGUGUGAGAACAGAUGCAUUUGGUGUUACAUCAGUAAAUUCAAGACGGAAGCUGCAAUAUUAUGAUCCUUUCAUUCUUGCUUCUCAGGCCGAUCAGGUUUGUUAUAUCAAGUACCCCCGGGUAAGGAACAGAGAUGAUCCAUGGGUUACUGUUACAAGACUCAACCCGAGAGGCCGAGUUCAGGGAAGUUCUGAGCUGGAAGACCCACUACAACCAAGCACAUCCGGCAACUUAAGUGCAGCAGAAGAUUUAGCUGGAGUUGGCCUUGUAGUCGAUUUAACCGACUUUGGAGAGGAAGCCGUCGUUCACGUAGAGGAUGAACCAGUGAUUGGAGAGUUUCACCAAGAUCCAGAUUCAGAUUCAUCUGGUGAUGAUGACUCGGAAACAGACUACCAUUGAAUAUAGAUAUGUGUUUGUUAAACCAUUAUAAAAUAUAAAUUGAUAGAUAUAUUAUAAUUUAUUUUUAAUUUAUUUGUGGCUUUAAACAAAUUUGAAAUGAUUUAAAAAAACAGGUACUAAAAAACAUGUGCAUAUUUGCUUGGAUCAAAAUUUGGCAGCCUUUAUAAUAAAUAUUUUAAGGCAUUUGACAUACGGAAACUCUUUUCAUCUGCUAUCUCUAAUUCAAUAUUUUUUUUAAAUACUGACUGCAUUACUUUCAUCGCAUGAACAACAGCCAGUGUGUUAUCCAACACUUUUAAGCUUUUACGAAAACAUCAUUUUGGAAGCUACAAAUGCUAAUAUUUUGAGACUCUUGACUCUGUUUUAUUUUAAAUUUUGUCAACAGACGACUCUGUCUUAUCUUAGAGUUUUACAUUUCCCGUUCUGAUGAAAACCAUCAUAUUAAAACUUACACAUAAGUCAAAUUAGUGGUUUCAAAUACCGAGUCCGUAAUAUGUAUUUACUGUGUUCGAACGGUUUAAUAUAUCCAUGGAAUAUAUCGUACUAUCUUAUUCACACAACAUUUAUAUUUCGAAUAAGUCAACACAACUGGUGUGUGACAUAACCGCAUAAAAUAAAAUACAUACACCAUAAAUUAUUCUGUCAUAAUUAAUAACUAGAGAUUGACCCGCACGCCCGUGCGGGUGUUAAUUUUUACUUUCUUAUAAAUCGAUAUUUUAUUUUUAUGAUUAGUAUUAUAUAUUUUAUAUGUGUCAUAAUAUAAUUAAUUGCAUAAGUACUUUUAAAUUUCUAUACAUCAUAAUCGAACCUGAAUCAAAUAGAGUAAUAUGAUUACUUUUGGUUAUUUGGUUAUUUUUAGUUUAAUUUGAAUUCAGCAUACCCGAAUUGAAUCGGUUAAUAUUCUUACUUUUCAUAUAAAUAUCCGUACCGGCGUCAAAUACAUUAGUUUUUAGAUAUUUGUAGGUUUGUAUAUAUCAAGACUGAAUUCAUCUGGACCCGAUUCAAAAUACACAUGAAAAUUUUUUAAUACUGAAAUGAAGUCUAGUUUCAAAACUCAAAAAGCAUGAUAACCCAAAGAAAUAACUCGUAACUGAAUAGUUAUCCGAAUGUCCAUGUCUAACCGAUACAUAAGUAAAUUAAAAAAAACAUUUGUUAACCAUUUUGAAUUCUUAUCACAAAUAGAGUGGUUUCAUUCAAAUAUGUCGAAUUAUUAUAGUUAAUAUGUAAAUAAUCCUGGAAAAAUAUUAUAGUAAAUAUAAUUAAUGAGAUAGUUAAAAGUGAGAAAAUGAAUAUAAAAGAUAAAAUAAAAAAAUUGAAAACAAAUAAGUUUUGUUUUUCUUGUCACUAUUAUAUAUCAUAUAUAUGUCAUCAUAUAAUUAAUCAUAUUUUAUAUGUACCAUAAUAUAAGUAAUCAUAUAACUAAUAGUAUUUUAUAUGUACCAUCAUAUAAAUAAUCACAUAUAUUAUAUUUAUAAACCUAAUAUGAAAUAUAAAAACCAUAAUUUAAGUUGGUGUUUUAAUUAAGUUUUGUAUUGUAUUUUUCUUAUAUAUAGUAAAAAUAUUUUUUUAAAUGGUUAUUGGAAAAUAUUUUAGUAAAUUGUUUUUUAAAUAUAUAUAUAUAUAUAUAUUUUUGAAUCAAUUUUUUAUAUAAAUUAGUUUUAAAUUAUUAUUUUGAUUUGAAUUUUGUAUAGUAAUAAUUAAAAGUGAGAAAAAUGAAUGUAAAAGAUAAAAUAAAAAUUGAAAACAAAUAAUUUUUUUUUUGUACUUCUGUAAUAAAUUAUAUUAACUUAUUUAGUAAAUAUAAUAGAUGAAGGGUUAGAAUUGAUUAACAAUAGAAUAAAAAUCUUUUAAAAAAUCAAUUAAGAUAAGUAAGUAUUAUUUUGUACUGCUAUCCAUGUUUCCAAACAAUUCUCAUUUAUACUACUAUCCAAGUUUCCAAACAACUCUCAAAUGUACUUCAGUUUUAAUAAUAUAGAUGAAGCCAAACUAUUGUUUCAUUCUCCAAAAUAUAAUAAAAAUAAUAACUUAAUCCCGCGCAAGGCGCGGGUCUUAUCCUAGUUAUAAGUUAUAACAUCAGAUCUUUAAAAACUGGUCAAAGAAGAAAGUUUUGAAAAAACCUAAUAAGCGAAUCAUUCCAAGAAUUGAUAUUUGUUUCUUUUUGAAGAACCUGCAUCAAAUUUCAUAAAAUAGUCAGCGUAAGAUGAAAGCAAAACCUGAAAACGAAUCACCGAUCUACAGAGACUUUAGGUACUGCCGCUUCCAAUCAAAAUAAGUGGUAUUAGGGGUUGAGACUGGGCCGACAAAAUCACUAUGUGGAGCCUUCUUAGAUCUGAAGCAAAGCAAAUGGUUACUGUAUAUCAAACCAAUAAAAGAAAGUUGAAGAUGAGAGAUGAGGAACUAAAGAGUUACUGGUGUCUUGAUGCAGCUACGAAGACCUGAUUUAUUAAUAUAUAUAGAUUUUGGCCUAUACUGUUCAGUAGACUACUAUCUCAUUGUGAAUAGAUUGAUUCGUUUGGAACAAAAAAAAAAUUCAAUUCUUUUGAUCUUUUUGGCGUAUCCUUCAGUAUCACUUUAUUAUCAAGUAGCAAGAGUAACAACAACAAAAAAACUUCUCUUUUAUUACGGUCUUCAGAGUACUUCUUAUUACAUUGGCCUCGAUCGAUUUUAAAGUACAUUAUUUAUGGAACACACACCAUCACUGCGUAGUGUUAACAUACAUCAACAACCACACUCUUCGCCGUGGUAUAUACACUCCCGAGGGUUUCGUUUGGAAUCUAGUAAGAGGGCCCAGGCAUGGUCUUCUGGAAAGGACAAAUGCUAACUUGCGGGAUGUUGCAAACUUUAGGUAAGUGCGUAGCAGUCUGGUAGAUACGGCUAAUUACUUGCUGCAGCUGCUGUCCCUGCUGUCCCUGUUGUCCUCCUUGUUGUCGAACCUGUUGUUUAACGGCUUUGGAUGCUCCUUUCAAGGUUGGGCAAACGCAGAGUGGCUCUUCCUGGUGAAGCUCGUUGCAGCACUGCUGGAGCAGCGGAGGCCUCUGCUGUGGGCCCUGGGGGUUCUCCAUGUCGUCAUCAAAAUCGAACUCACCGUCAAGGGUCCAGCUAGGACCACUACCGGACUGCAUUGCCUGCUUGUGGAGCCAUUGUUGGCAAGCUCUUAGGUGUUGUGCUUGCUGAAACUCCUUCCUACAUUUUGGAAUCCUAAAUGGGCCGGCUGGGUUUGUGGCAUCUUCAUCGACUUCCACAACCGUCCUGUAGACGGAGGCAUUGGUGAGAAGGAAGAAAAAGGCGAGAGUUGCCGAGACGAGGAAGAGCUUGUUCGCCAUUUGUGUAUGUUUUUAACUUUGUUUGUUAUGAUGAGUUUUGGUUUGAGUAAAGAGUGAAGCUGUUAAGUUAAUUUAUAGGUGAGAAUGGAGAUUUGCAUGGCGAUCACGUGUAAUAAUGCAUGCAUUUGUGUGUGUGCGCUGUGAGAGAUAAGCUCUUAUGUGUUCGAAGUGAGUGACAAGUCACUAACAAAAACAGUCAUCCGCAUCUGCAUGCUAUGUGUGAAGUGUAGCUCAUGUCCUGGCGUGACAUCUUAUGAACAAUAUUCUUAAAACAGAAUGUACAAACUUAACUUCAAAAAAUUUAAAAAAACCUUCAGUAUGUGGGGUAAGAGUCUAUAUAUACUUUGGAGGUGGUGCGGGGGCGGUUGAAAAUAUAUAUUGGGAGCUUAAUCAGAAUUCAGAAAUAGUAAAGAAGAUCUAUGUCAUGGUGGAAACUAAAUGUGUCUCGUAUAAUAUCUAACUAAGUAGUAACCCGCGUUUUGCGCGGGAUUAGAUAUCUAAUAAUAUGUUGAUUGUAUAUAUUAUGAUUAUGUACAACAUAUAAGGUGUAGCUCAAUCUCUAUAAUAUUAUUUGAGAAGUCACUUUCCUAUGUGUCGCUUCCACAUUAAUUAUCAGGAUGGUUGAUUAUACUGAUACCCUUAAUGAAUUUAAAAUAUUAAAUACUAUUAUUUAUUUAUUUUAUUUAGCUUGCUUUUAAAAAAUUUCCAAAAACAUAUACACAUAAUAAAAAGGAAUUUUUAAUAAAGUUAAAAAACGAAUUGAAAAACGAAAGAUCUCUAUAAUAUAACUAGAGUCGGCCCGCCCGAGUAUACUUUUCUUAUGAUUUAAGUUACUAUUUUUAUAUGAUUUUGUGCUUUGUGUUUUGGGUUUGCAUUUGCAAGAAAUGUGUAUAUAAUGAUUUAUGUCUUUAAAAAAGUUUUAGAUGAGAAAAGAUUAUACGUGGUAAGAUAUAUUUUACUUGUUUACAAUAAUUGUUUCUAUAUUAAAGAGUUAUGGCAUUAAUAUAUUGUGAGGGCUUCAAAUGGACGAUUUCAUAUUCGAUGUCAAAAUGGUUUAUUUUUUUCUAAUAUUAAUUCUUGUAUAGAUUAAGUAAAUAUUUUCUUAUUUAAUCUCAUACUCAUCGAUCUAAAUUGAACGGUUAUGGGAUAUUUUAAAUUUUUUGUGUUACAAUUGAAAUAAAAAGCAAAGAAAAACACAUUGGUUAAAUAUUUAAUUGGUUUAAAGAGAAUCAUGAACAGCGAUCCUUCGGAAAAAUAUUAAUUGUAUGUUUUCUAUCUCCUUUUAGAAUUUUUUUUGUCUUUUUAACUUUCUAUAUUGUUACCUCUGUAUACUUUAUAACAUUUAAUUUCUGCAAUUACUUCUUUAAAUACUUAACAUGCAGAUUUUAAUACUUUACUAUGACAUUUCCAUUUCUUUUUUUUUUUACUACAGUUAAUAGUUCUACAAAUAUAAUCACAGCUACAUCAUUCACAAUUUACAUAUUGUAAAAUAUGUAUAUAACUCUGUCAAAACAAUUUUCGUAUACUUAAAUAACUUCAUCCACUGCCACUUUCAAGCUCUCAGAGUUACAAAUCUGAAUUGAUCAUGGGUCUUAAGAUGGAGAGCAAAGCAAACCUGCAAAUAUCGCAGAAAGUUGUUAUGCCGCAGAGAACCACAUAAACCUGUAUACCCUAGUAAUAUAUUUAUAUAUAUGUUGAUAUAUAUAUAUAUAUAUAUAUAUAUAUGAUUUCAUAAAAAAAAGUUCACAAAAUAGUAAUAUUACAUUUAAAAAAUAUUUUUAAUUAACAUAAAAUAUACUUUUGAAAUAAGAAAAUACUUUAUUUAUAUCUAUAUUUUCUUAGAUGAAAAAUAUAAAUUUGUAUAUAAUGUGAUUUCAUUAAAAAUAUUUACACAGAUAAUCUUGAUAUUAGAAACAUAAAUAAUAUUUCUUUUAAAACAUAAUUUUAAACAAUACAAAAAAAAGUUCAAAGUAAUAGAAUUUUUUUUAUAUAUCCAUCUAUUUUCUUAGAUGACUAGGGGACUAGGUAAUAAUCCGCGCGAGCCUUGCGAGGAAUAUGAUUAUUAGUUUCGUUAUUUUUAAUAAAAAGACAUUAAAUCAGUUUAAUCUGGAUAUUAGUUCGGUAUUAAGUUUUUUUUCGUUUUUAAUCUUCUAAAAUAUAACUAUUAUUUUAAAUUAAUAUUCAUUUUAGUAUAUUCGGUUAAAAUAUUUGAAUUUUGGUUUUUUUUCCGGUAAAAACCAAAAUUAAUAUUAUUUAUUUAUUUUCAUGUUAUAAAUUUUAGAUAGUCGUCAUGUCGAACCAAUAGUUUCUAAACAGAUAAUAGUUUAAGAAAAAGAAAAGAAAAUUAUUAAGACAAAUCAUUUCACUACAAUUUGGUCGGUAGUGAAAGAAGCAUUAAGAAAUAAUAUUUCAACUUUUAAAAAAAUUAGAUACUUCAUUUGUGGUGAAUACUUAGUUACAAGGUAUUCACAUCAAGGUGCACAUAUAUGUGUAUGUAAAAAGUAUAUAAAAAUAGUUGACAAAUAUAUAAAUAUAUUGUUAAUUAAUAUUAAAUGAUAUUUUUUUUUCAUAAUAAUUAUGGGUGGGCGUUCGGAUACCCAUUCGGGCUCAGUUUGGAUCUAUUCGCGUUUCGGGUUUUCGGUUUAAAGAUUUCAGCCCCAUUCGGGUAUUUCUAAAUUUCGGUUCGGAUCCUUGCGGGUUCGGUUCGGAUUCGGAUAACCCAUUUAAAUUAUUUUUAAAAUUUUAAUAUUCAUUUUAUGCUUAAAAUUUCUCAAAAUCUAUAAAACAAAAUAAUAUAUUACAUAGAAUUUGUAUAAUAUAUGUCAAAAUAUCUAAAAUUUACAUAUAAAUUGGUUUGAUUUGAAUAUUUUGAUACAAAAUCAAUUGAUAUUUUAAGUAUUUUGGUGCUUUGAAUAUAUUUUAGCUAUUUUAGACAUUUACUUUUGACUAUUUAUGUAUAUUUUCAAGUUUUUUAGACAACUUAAAAAUAUCUUAUAUAUUUUAGAUGUGUUUAAUAUAUAUAUUAAAUCUAAAAAUAAGUAAUAUAUUUAGGUAUAUAAAUCUAUUUCGGUUAUGUUUGGGUACCCGAGAUAUUUCGGUUCGGGUCGGGUUCGGUUUCGAUUCUUUAGAUACCAAAAUAUUGAACCUGUUCGGAUAUUUAAUCAAUUUUGGUUCGGGUUCGGUACUACUUUUUCAGAUCGGGUUCGGUUCAGUUCUUCGGAUCCGGGUUUUUUGCCCAGCCCUAAUAAUAAUACAUGAAAGAUAAAAUUAAAAUUAAUUUAAAAUAAAAAAGGCUUUGACAUUAUUCAUUUUUUAUAUAUAAAGAAAAUAAAUUUGUAUCCGUAAACAGGGGUGGAUACAGAUCAAAUAUCUGGGUAUUUGGAAGCAUUCGUGUCGAUUCGAUCUUUAGCCACCUAGAUAUUUAGUGACUCGGAUAACCGAAAUGUUUUAGAAUUUUUAAAAAUAUAAUAAAUUUAAUUCAUAAAAAAUAUUGUAAAACUGAUAUAAAGUAUAAUAUAUAUAACGUAUAUAUAUAAUUUUUUACAUAUAUGUAUAUAUAGAUAUGCAUAUAACAUAUCGAACUAGAUAUAUGUUCCUAAAAAUAUUGGUAUUUGUGAUUUGCUUCUUUUUUGGAUAUUGUAUUUUAGUAUUUGAUUUGUUUCGUAGUGUUACAGAUAUCCAGAUUUUUUGGUUCAAAUCAAAACAUAUAACGAAUCAAAUCAAAAUUUAUGAAUAUUUUGCUCAAUUUUAUCCGUAAACAAUAAAAAUAAUAUAUAUAUAGUUUAGCUUUUGAUUCGUUAUCUAUUUUUAUUCAAACAAAAAAAUCCAGAGUUUUAUUGAAACUAUGUAUGUGAGUUUUAUAUUAAAAAAAUCGCAAAAUACAUAGUGUGAAUACAUUUAUGAAUAUAAUGUGAACGCGUUAACAUACUUAUUAUCAAAUCAUUGUAAGACUGUCACGUGUCUAGUGUGGAUACAUUUAUUGCAAUGCUUUUUUUUUAAUAUAUAAGGGAUAAAUGCACUAGUGCCUCUUGUGUAACUGUAACCAGGGACGAAUGUGAUGCAGCUCAAUCUCUGAUCGCACACAAUCAACACGAGACUGCCAAGGUUCACGACUCUCUUCCAUAUAGGAAUUUCCUUUUAUAUUAAAGUCGGUUUUAACUUUCCUUUUUAGGUGUUUUCGUUUUCCUUUUAGAAAGAGGAGUUAACUAAUCCUCCUAUAGGUUUAUGUUUUUCGUUUCUAGUAUUUAAAGGGUCCUAAUCAAGCUUGUAAGGUCACGAUUGGUUAAUAUUGAAUACAUCUUUAGAGUUUUUAAAAAGCUUUAACAAGCGCUGCGAAGAGUAUUCGCGUCCUAUUAUCCUUGUGUCCGAGUUACCUUCAAGAACAUGUUACCAAUCUAGUGAUCAAACCCUUGAUCCCUAGGUUUCCUAGCUUCCGCUCUCCAUCAGAAUAUAUAGGUGCACUUGUAGUCUUGUACCCACUAUUUUUUCUAAAAAGAAAUAUUUUCUAAAAAAAUGUUAAAAUCUAACAAAAAUGGGCAAAACUAACCUAGCAACCAGUAUUUUGUUGGUUUGCCUCCUCUGCUUUCACCAUUUUAUUUGUUCUUCUCUUUACAUUUACUUCAAUCAAUGUUAAAUUUAUUUGAUUUAAAAGAAUUUAUAAAAUGGAUGCAACACUAACUAGGCCUAGUAAAAUAAUCAUGUUGAAUUUUCGAAGGGCAUGCUGAUGUUGUUCUCUAUGCUUUCCUCCAUUACGUUUACGCCAAAUAGUGUACACCACUAGAGUCGGGCAUGUAGACAGUAUUAUAAAAAAAAUUGAAUGGAACACCCACUUUACAAGAGCCCUACUACAAAAAUUGUAUAUAUGUAUUUAUAUUUUUGAUAUAAUAACAUAGAUAUAUUAACUGUAAAAUAUUGAUAAAAAAUUUAGUUGAUAAAAAUAUAUUAAAUGAUCUAUACUAUUAUUUGCGAAGUAAUUUUUAGCAACGAAACUCUCACGUUGAAAGUUAGAGUUGUUAAUAUCUAUAUUACUCUUAAUGAAUUUUAUGUAUAUAUAUUAAUUAUAUAAUCAAAAACGAAUUUUGAUUAAUAAUGUCUUAUAUAUUAAAAGAGAAGUCACAACCUUGAUUCAUGUGUGAUUUUUUUAAAAAUGGACUAUCACUAGAAAGAAGUUAUGUUUCAUUUAUUUCUUAGUAACAUUUUGCUAUAAUUAAUUAAUCACAUAAUAAUAAUCGACUAUUAUAACAACUUUUUCCUAUAAAGCCGGCUCCGUUUAUGAAAACAUUUUAACCGAUAAAUCACCUAAUAUAUGUCGAUUUGGAGCUGUGCUUUACGCUCUUGUAUGCCCUAAACCUCCACCCACUGCGACUCCUUAGCAAGUUAAACUCUUUAAAGAAAUAACCUGUCCUUCAGUACUGCGUAAGAGAUCUUCUAUCAAAAGAAAAAUUGUUAGCGAAGCUCAGAAAACGUUUUGUAUCUCUCAUGCUAAUCAGUAUGUUGAAGCUGGAACUUACUUGCGUGUGCACGUUUAACCAAAACGUUCCCCAAGGUACACUGUUAGAAAACUGUUUGAAAAUUGGAAAGCUUUGGUGAUAAUAUUCACUGCACACAUGAUGGAUUGUAUCAGGUAUUAUGAAAUUGACUGGAAGUCGCGGAUUAUUGCUGUGACUGACUCUUCUUAUGUCGUUUUGGAUAAACUUGCCGGGACUACGGUACUUUUAUUCAUCCAUUGCACUAUCUCUUCUCAAUGUUCUUGACCACUGUAGUUUCACUAGAGAUCUUUAAAGAACUUUCUCUUGUGAAUAUUGUUAGUCUCAGUUUUAUACAUUUUGGGAUUGUACCAGAAUGUAUUUUUGUGUUCUAUUUCUUGGUAAUGAGGAUCGAAAAACAAUUCAUUCGAUCUUAAAACUUUAGAUACUAAAAAGCCAGGGUUCUCAGUGAUUCAGUGUGCUGACCCACAUGACCACAAUAAUUCAGUUUCUCAGGUUGGGGAAACCACAGAUAAUAUCGAAGAGAGCUGUGCGACAUUUUCCUUAUGUGCAUUAGAUUCCGCAGAACCACUGAAACAACACAUCAGAUUGAUAACUGCACAAAAGGCUGUACUUUCCCUUUUAAAACUUUUCUGCUUCAUACUUUUGCAGAUUUUUUUACUAAAAUUUGUAGAUUUAACUUCUUGAAAUGACCAGGUCGCAUUGCUUUUUUACUUUCUCUGUAGUAUAAUCUUUGCUAGGACAAAAGAGUAUUGAUCGGUCUUCCUCACAGAAAUACGAGUGAGUUUGCUUUGCUUCUAUUUCGUUUGACUGGAAAAUCAAGAAGACAUGGUGAAAUAUUUCAUUAUUUUCUAUAUGUUUUUACUUCUUUUCAAGAAUAAGGAGGUGAGGAAACUUCGUCGUGCUGUUGAGUCUUGAUACGGCCGUUGUAGUUCGAACUCUAACGGUCUAACCUAUGAUAAGUGGAAUAAAUCCUUGAUUUGUUUAUAGUUAUGAGUUUGGUUUUGCUGUGUACUUGGUCAUUUCAUAGCUCAGACCCAACAUAUAUACCCUCUCAUCCGACCACCAAAUAAUAUCCCAUCCAACCCAACACCUACAAUACAAUAUUAAGCUUCUUGAAUUAAGUCCUACUUAUUGAGUAACUAGCCUCUCUAUUUUGACUUGGGGUGCAUUGAACAACUCUGAUUAGUUAUUUCUUCAAAAUGAUUCUCAAUAUUUGUCUAUUGUGUAAUAUUUUAACUCGGUGUUUCUUAUAUUUUUAAAUUAAAAUAAAUUUAAAAAUAAAAUUUAUUAAUAUUGUAGAUUUUAUUAUUUUACCAAGUUUUAAUAGAAAUUUUAUUUAAUUAAGCAUUAUUAUUAAAAUUAAAAAUAAUUUUGCUUAUUUUAAAAUAUAUUUAAGAAUAUAUAUAGUUCUAUAUUAAAAAUAAUAAUCUUCGCUAAAAUUUUAUCUAUUUAUUUUGGUUAAAUAUAUUAAAUCAACCUUUUUUUUUGAAUUAAAUCAACCUUUAUAAAACUAAUAAAAUGAUAUACAAUUGUAUAAUUAUCAAAAAUAAAACUAAACAAUAUUUAUAAAGAAAACUUAGAUAUUAUAAAAGAAACUAAUGAUAUUACGAUUAAAUUUUGCUUAAAAUAAUAUAGAACGUUUUAAAAAAAUUAGUAAUAAAAAUUGUAUAAUUAUAAAAAUAGAAUAAAUCAUCUUUAGAAAUUUAGAAAAUCAUAUCUGAAUAUAUUUAUUUUAACAAUGAUGUAUGAAUUAUUACCAUAUUUUGAUAUACGAGUUAUUAUUAUAUUCUAAAAAUUUCAAUAUUUUAAUACAUUAGUAAUACGUUAAAUAUUUUAAUAUUAUAAUAUAUAUCACGAAUGUUGCAAAAAAAAUGUUUACGUAAUGGAAAUAAAUACCCGCGCUGUUGCGCGGGUCAAGAUCUAGUUAACUUGUUAAAACAAUAAGAUAAUUCUUAUAUAUUAUGUUGUUAUCUUAAAACAUAUGUUUCAAUUAUAAAUUUUAAAAAUAAAAUAUAAAACAAAGUUAGAGUGGUUAAUAUCUAUAUUACCCUUAAUGAAUUUUAUGUAUAUAUAUUAAUUAUAUAAUCAAAAACGAAUUUUGAUUAAUAAUAUUAACUUUUUAAAACAAUAAGAUAAUUCUUAUAUAUUGUGUUGUUAUCUUAAAACAUAUUCUUAUAUAUAUAUGUUUUAUUUUAAAAAAUAUAUAAAACAAUUAAUAAAUUUUAAUUAAACAUAUAUAUUUAAUUAACUUUGUUAUAUAUAUUUAUGUUUUAUUUAAUUUUUUGAAAACAUAAAUAAUAAGUUAUUAUGCUGAUUUUGAAUUAAAAAAAAUAAACUAAUAAAUAGUUGUAAAACGAUUAAGCCUGCAUAUGCGGGCAAGACACUUAGUUUUGUUAUUAUUAUUGUAGUUUAGAUAUAAAUAAGUAAUAUACUACAAAAUUAUGUUUUUGUAAACAAAAUUUUAUUUAUAAAUUUUACAAAAAAAUUAAAUAAUUAAUAAAUAUUUUUUCGAAUAAAGUCGCGGAAAUCGUUUUUUUAAAAGAAAUCUUAAGACCCACCACUCCGUGAAAGGAUGCAACUAACAAAGAGGGAGGGUCAGCUGACCCCACAAAAUAAUUAUUAAACAUUAAAGAUAAAUUUAAUUAUACAACUAAAAUAUUUAUACAUUUUUAUCUUUAAAACUUAAGAUAUGUUAGUUUUAAUCUCAUUUUUUUAUAGUUAAAAAAAAUUAUAACGCUGAUAUAAGAAAAAAAAAAUUCUGAUCUGGUAUAAAAUAUUUCGGGCUCCGGCGGACUGCAUGAAACAUGUAUUGCAAUGUAAAGAGAAUGGUAAUGUCCCAACCAUCAUCCACCAAGAAGAGUUGAACAAUAUAUAGUAUCCCAGCGGUUAGAGUAUUUAGCAUUUAUUAAAAGUUAUAGAUGAUCAAUGGUACAGAAAUUUACUACCUUUGCUAUCAAAGUACUGUUUAUAAGUAAAGGCAACAUCAGUAAUUAAUAUUUGCAGGAAUUUACAGAUGCAUGGUGAUCAAAAAGAGUUUCGAAGUAUCUGAUCAUACCAGAUUAAUUUGAGUCAUUGGUUGAUCCCAGUGGAUAAUCUUUUAUUAUUGGCCUCGAAGGCUUUAAUUAACAUUUAGUCUAUUCUGUUCAUUGGACUACUUGUGAAUAGAUUAAUUGUUCUGUUCUUUUUGGCGCAUCCUUAAUUAUCACUUUUUAUGAAGUAGCAAGAGUAACAAAAAUUAAAAAACACCUCUUUUAUUACGGUCUACGAGUAGUUCUUAUUACAUUAGCCGCGAUUUUAAAGUACAUUAUUUAUGGAACACAUACCAUGGCUGCGUAGUGUUAACAUACAUCAACAACCACACCCAUCAUCGUGGUAUAUACACUCAGAGGGUUUCGUUUUGAAUCUAGUAGGAGGGGCCAGGCAUGGUCUUCUGGAAGGGACAAACGCUAACUUGCGGGAUGUUGCAAACUUUAGGUAAGUGAGUAGCGGUCUGGUAGAUUCGGCUAAUUACAUGCUGCAUCUGCUGUCCCUGCAUUUGUCCCUGUUGUCGAACCUGCUGUUUAACGGCUUUGGAUGCUCCUUUCAAGGUUGGGCAAACGCAAAGUGGCUCUUCCUGGUGGAGCUCGUUGCAGCACUGCUGGAGUAGUGGCGGCCUCUGUUGUGGGCCCUGGGGGUUCUCCAUGUCAUCUUCAAAAUCAAACUCACCAUCGAGGGUCCAGCUAGGACCACUACCGGACUGCAUUGCCUGCUUGUGGAGCCAUUGUUGGCAAGCUUUCAGGUGUUGUGCUUGCUGAAACUCCUUCCUACAUUUUGGAAUCCUAAAUGGGCCCGCUGGGUUUGUGGCAUCUUCAUCGACUUCCACAACCGUCCUGUAGACGGAGGCAUUGGUGAGAAGGAAGAAAAAGGCGAGAG
Molecule: long non-coding RNA, 62165 nt
Filed under: Brassica napus (rape)
Lineage: Eukaryota; Viridiplantae; Streptophyta; Magnoliopsida; Brassicales; Brassicaceae
Description: long non-coding RNA (BNAP_LNC008546)
Source: RNAcentral